CUAACUUUUCUGCAGGUCGACCUUCAUCAUGGACACCACGUGCAUCAUCUACUUCCAGUGCACCAUCACCUCCUUUAGGUGCCAUCUCCAACCGUGAUACAAGAAAGCAGGCACAACCACCACUAUCUGCCAAGAGCACACCUGCCAGGCCUGCACAGAGCUCUUCUUCUUCCAUGGCGUCAACAGGGCACACAAGUGGUAUUAUUUGUCGUCGUUGUGAGGGAAGAGGACAUUUUGCGAGAGAAUGCAAAUCUCAGCGUGUGAUGAUUGCUACUGAGGAUGGUGGGUAUGAGUCCGCUACUGACUAUGAUGAGGAGACUUUGGCUCUUAUUACACAUGAAGAGCACGGUGGAGAUGAUUCUGAUCAUGAGACGCAAUACAUGGCUGCUCAAGAUGCUGACACGUAUGAAUGUUUAGUUGCUCAACGUGUUUUGAGUGUGCAGGUUACACAAGCUGAGCAAAAUCAGAGACAUAAUUUGUUCCAUACAAAGGGAGUUGUUAAGGAACGUUCUAUUCGCGUCAUCAUAGAUGGAGGGAGCUGCAGCAACUUGGCUAGCAUGGAGAUGGUGGAGAAGCUAUCUCUCACCACAAGACCACAUCCACAUCCUUACUACAUCCAAUGGUUCAACAACAGCGGCAAGGUUAAGGUAACACGUACUGUUCGGGUGCAUUUUAGUAUCUCUACAUAUGCUGAUUAUGUUGAUUGUGAUGUGGUACCUAUGCAAGCAUGUUCCUUAUUACUUGGUAGACCAUGGCAAUUUGAUAAAAAUUCUGUACACCAUGGUAGAAACAAUCAGUAUACUCUUGUUCAUAAGGAUAAAAAUAUUACUUUGCUUCCUAUGACUCCUGAUUCCAUUUUAAAAGAUGAUAUUCAUAGAGCUAAUAAAGCAGAAUAGGAGAAAAAUAAGAGUGAAAAUCAGAUUGUGGCAAAGGAAUUUGAGCAACAAAUGAAACCUAAUAAUAAACCAUCUAGUGUUGUUUCUGAAAUUAAAUUGAAAAGUGCAUGUUUACUUGCCACAAAAUCUGAUAUUGAUGAACUAGAUUUCAGCAAAUCUGUUUGCUAUGCUUUUGUGUGCAAAGAGGCAUUAUUUUCAUUCGAGGACGUGCCUUCCUCUUUGCCCCCUGUUGUCACUCACAUUUUGCAGGAGUUCGCUGACGUCUUCCCACAAGACGUGCCACCGGGAUUACCACCUAUUCGAGGGAUUGAGCAUCAAAUUGACUUAAUUCCCGGUGCAUCGCUACCCAACCGUGCACCAUACCGUACCAAUCCAGAGGAGACGAAGGAGAUUAUGCGUCAAGUACAGGAGCUGCUCGACAAAGGUUAUAUUCGCGAAUCCCUUAGUCCUUGUGCUGUUCCUAUUAUUCUAGUGCCGAAAAAGGAUGGUACGUCGCGUAUGUGUGUUGAUUGUAGAGGCAUUAAUAAUAUUACUAUUCAUUAUCGCCAUCCUAUUCCUAGGCUAGAUGAUAUGCUUGAUGAAUUGAGUGGCUCUACAAUAUUCUCCAAAGUUGAUUUGCGUAGUGGAUACCAUCAAAUUCGUAUGAAAUUGGGAGAUGAAUGGAAAACAGCUUUUAAAACUAAGUUUGGUUUAUAUGAGUGGUUAGUCAUGCCUUUUGGGUUAACUAAUGCACCUAGUACUUUCAUGAAACUAAUAAACGAAGUUUUACGUGCUUUCAUUGGACGAUUUGUGGUAGUCUAUUUUGAUGAUAUACUGAUUUAUAGCAAAUCUUUGGAAGAACAUUUGGAACAUUUACGUGGUGUUUUUAUUGCUCUACGUGAUGCAUGUUUGUUUGGUAACCUUGGGAAGUGCACCUUUUGCACCGACCGAGUAUCUUUUCUUGGCUAUGUUGUUACUCCACAGGGAAUUGAAGUUGAUAAAGCCAAGACUGAAGCUAUUGAGAGUUGGCCGCAGCCCAAAACGGUCACACAAGUGAGGAGUUUUCUUGGACUCGCUGGUUUCUAUAGGCGUUUUGUGCGAGAUUUUAGCACCAUUGCUGCACCUCUCAAUGAGCUUACAAAGAAGGAUGUGCCUUUUGUUUGGGGUACCGCACAGGAAGAAGCCUUCAUGAUAUUGAAAGAUAAGUUGACACAUGCUCCUUUACUCCAACUUCCUGAUUUUAGUAAGACUUUUGAGCUUGAAUGUGAUGCUAGUGGAAUUGGAUUAGGAGGUGUGUUAUUACAAGAUGGCAAACCUAUUGCAUACUUUUCUGAAAAAUUGAGGGGGCCUAGUCUGAACUAUUCUACUUAUGAUAAAGAAUUAUAUGCUCUUGUUCGGACCUUAGAAACAUGGCAACAUUAUUUGUGGCCCAAAGAAUUUGUUAAACAUUCUGAUCAUGAAUCUUUGAAACACAUUAAAAGUCAAGCUAAACUGAACCGUAGACAUGCUAAAUGGGUUGAAUUCAUUGAGACUUUCCCUUAUGUCAUUAAACACAAGAAGGGUAAAGAAAAUGUUAUUGCGGAUGCAUUGUCUCGUCGUUAUACUAUGCUUUCACAACUUGACUUUAAAAUAUUUGGUUUGGAGACCAUCAAAGAUCAAUAUGUGCAUGACGUUGAAUUUAAAGAUAUAUUGCAGAAUUGUAAAGAAGGUAGAACAUGGAACAAGUUCGUCGUUAACGAUGGAUUUGUGUUUCGUGCUAACAAGCUAUGCAUUCCAGCUAGCUCCGUUCGUCUUUUGUUGUUGCAGGAGGCGCAUGGAGGAGGACUAAUGGGACACUUUGGCGUGAAGAAGACGGAGGAUAUACUUACUACACAUUUCUUUUGGCCAAAGAUGAGACGGGAUGUUGAGCGUUUUGUUGCUCGAUGCACUACAUGUCAAAAAGCAAAGUCACGACUCAAUCCUCAUGGUUUAUAUAUGCCUUUGCCUGUACCUAGUGUUCCCUGGGAGGAUAUAUCUAUGGACUUUGUUUUAGGUUUACCUCGAACAAAGAAGGGGAGGGAUAGCAUAUUUGUUGUCGUGGAUAGGUUCUCGAAAAUGGCACACAUUAUACCAUGUUAUAAAAGCGAUGAUCCUGUUAAUGUUGCUGAUUUGUUCUUUCGUGAAAUUAUUCGCUUGCAUGGUGUGCCAAAUACUAUUGUUUCAGAUCGUGAUACUAAAUUUCUUAGUCACUUUUGGAGAUGUUUAUGGGCUAAGUUGGGGACUAAACUGCUUUUUUAGUACUACUUGUCACCCCAAACUGAUGGUCAAACUGAAGUAGUCAAUAGAACAUUGUCUACUAUGCUUAGGGCUGUUUUGAAGAAUAAUAAGAAAAUGUGGGAAGAAUGCUUGCCUCAUCUUGAAUUUGGUUAUAAUCGUUCGUUGCAUUCUACUACUAAGAUGUGCCCUUUUGAAAUUGUGUAUGGUUUCCUACCUCGUGCACCCAUUGAUUUGUUGCCUCUUCCAUCUUCGGAGAAGGUUAAUUUUGAUGCUAAACAACGUGCUGAAUUGAUUUUAAAAAUGCAUGAGUUAACUAAGGAAAACAUUGAGCGUAUGAAUGCUAAAUAUAAACUUGCUGGAGAUAAGGGUAGAAAACAUGUUGUCUUUGCACCUGGAGAUCUUGUUUGGUUACAUUUGCGUAAGGAUAGGUUUCCUAAUUUGCGCAAAUCAAAGCUAAUGCCACGUGUUGAUGAUCCUUUUAAGGUGUUAGAGAAAAUAAAUGAUAAUGCAUAUAAACUUGAGCUGCCUGCAGAUUUUGGGGUUAGUCUCACUUUUAACAUUGCAGAUUUGAAGCAUUAUUUGGGUCAGGAAGAUGAGCUUCCGUCGAGGACGACUUCAUUUAUCGAAGGGGAGGAUGAUGAGGACAUCAAUGCCAUUGUUACACCCACAACCCCUGCUACUAUACAUACUGGACCGAUUACUAGAGCUCGCGCACGCCAAUUAAAUUACUAGGUACUUCCGUUUCUUGGUAAUGAUUCUAAUGUUCAUGAGAAUAUGAUGCUGCCUAAAUUGGAUACAUUUGUUUUGCUUACAAAUGAAGGGCCUAGCUUGGAGAAGGAUGAACAUUGGAGCAAGAACAAGCAUGGAGUUGAUGGCAUGCGCAAGGGAGACAAGAACAGAGUUUCAAGUGAUGAUUUCAGGACUUUGAAGCCACCAUAAUUCGUGCAUGAAGCCUUGGACGAAAUAUACAAGAUGCCACUUCAUAAUUUUCGUCCAGAGGCUAUUCUAGGUGCUGCAUCACCUUAUUUUUGGGCCAGGCCCAUGUAAUUUCGAAAUACUUCAAUAUAGGUUGUUUUUAGAGUCCGUAUGUGUGGGGAAACAAGAGUUAGGGUGGGUUUCGGACCCCUCCUCCAAGGGCCACGAAAUUCCCCCCUCUUCCUCCAUAUAUACAGCCCCUAGGGCAUAGUUUAGACUUUGGGUUUUGUUUAGAUUAAAAGCUCGCCAUAGCUGCAACUUCACGUACUUCGUUUGUGUUCAACGACCAGACAAAGGCGUCACAGAACCCCACCUUCAUUAAUAAAGCUUUCCUCUUUUAUUCGCAAUAUCCAGAUUGCAAUCUCAGUUUCUUGCUUGUUCUUCGUUUGCUCGCAGGAAAUAGACCCUCGUGGUCAGGUUGAUCGUGCUCCGGCGUGGGCAAUAAUCCCUCGGAAGUUGGUUUAGCGAUUGCUAAGGCAAGACGUCUUCGCACGUUCGUAGUCGGAUCGUCAAAGUCGACUCCCACAGAAAACGAUUCCUAUCUCAUCGAAACAUCGGGACACCUUUGCCUCUAUCAGCUUAGGUCCCAUGCAAGAAAUGGGAAUGAAUUUCAAACAACAGGGCCCUGUUGAUUGCCGGCAAAACGUUGAGAUACUUUGUUUUUAAAUUCUAGUAAAUCCAAAACUCGUCUGAAAUUCAUGAAACUUGGCAUGCUAUCAUGGAAUGGGACCCGACAUGCUGUGGUAUUUUCGUGUCCAUUUUGAGAGAAGGCGCACUCGAAUAACAGUCAACAAAGGCAUUUUGAAAAAAUAGCUGCCACUUUAAUAUCUCAAACGUUUGUAUAAUUCAAACCGUGCGCGUUCUGUUAACCAUUCACGUGACGCCACGUGUCUUGGUUUUAAUGGCUAUAGGAGGUGUCGUGCGAAUAGCUGCUUGACCUUGACUGGACAGGAGGCGUGCGAGCGCAGUCCGGUGCGCAGGCUGACCGGGAGGCGUGCAAGCUGUCCUCCAAUGCGCAGGCUCACCGGGAAGCGUGCAAACUUUAUGCUUCGCAGGCUCACUAGGAAGCGAGCCCUUUGACUUCCAUGGCCGCCCGCCUUCCUCUCAUUAAUGGCACCCGAGCCGCUGCUUAAUACGGGCGGCCUACUGUUUGCCUCCCAUUCCCCUCCCUCCCGCAGACCUCCACCAACACCGCAGAAGGAUCAUCUGCCACUAGUCUUCAAGUUUGGUGAAGUUGACUCCAAGCCGGAGGAGAUAGAAAAUAAGGAGGAAUGGGGCCUCAUGGACAUGGCCCAGAACGAGCUAGCCGCGACGGUUGCUGCCCCCACUCCCGUCCUAGCUCCCAUCCCCGCGCCCGCGCCAGCGACCAUCCCCGUACCAUUGACAAGCUGGUCGCCGAGCACUAUCGAAGAGCUGGAAGCCGCGGGCGUCAGGAAGGUCUCCGCCGACCCGCGCGAGCUCGUGUACAUGCCAGCGCCCGUGCCCAUGCGCGCCCCUCCACCCACCGCGGCGCCAGUCCCUUUGCGUUUGGCUACACCUGCCGUGCCCGUACCUGUGCGCGCGCCCCCCACAGCGGCAUGGGACACUGCCGUCGACCGCUACCUCUCAACGCCGCCAGCUGCCGUCCUCCCGCGCCCUGCCCGUCGAUCGCGCAACGACAUGAUGUCUGAUUUACAAGUGAAGAACAUUCUAUGGUGCAUUGAAGACUUCAACAACAGCGUCCCGGAGGACGACAACGACAAUGACAGCGCGGCACGCCGCCUCCGCAGCCGCCGGAAACAGUUUUUUUCUUGGGUUUAAUACUGUAUCUCGAUCAUAUGAAUAUAAAUUCGCAGUAUGACUGAAUGAAAGAUAUGGUUUGAGCGAACUUGCAUUUUUCUCUCUUAAUUUACGGACUUAUCAAACGAUUUUCUUUAAAAAAACGUCAAUGGUUUUUAAAUAUAAAACACUCAUCGCAAACGUUUUAGUUAGAACACUCGUAUGCAAACAAACAGCUUCCCCAGGAAGCCAAGGAAAAAUAAGCCGAGCAGGAUUUGUGCAACACUUGAUCGCCAACGUUUUAGAUAGAACACCCGUACGCAAAGUGAGAGCAGGAUUUGUGCAUCUCUUCAACGCAAACGGUUCUUUUGGAUGACCCGUGUGCAACCACUUACAAACAAUUUGGGUAUGUUACCAUUUGUCAAACUGGAAAUAUUGACAUUUGUUGAUCUAGUAACAUUGCCAUUUGUCAACCUUGUAACACUGUGAUUUGUCAAAAUAUGAAGCUAAAAAUCACUAGCAGUAUCUAAUUUUUGCAACUAAAAUUCAGUAAUUAAGCAUAGAUUUCAUUCAUAGAUUAAGCAGUCGUUCUUAAUUUAUACAAAUUGUUCAACUCGACAGUUGAACCGACCAAACUUUUCCCCAAUUGUUGCCAACCACGUACUGAAAUAGCUAGUUCAACUAUAUAUACUAGGUAAUUUUAAGUACGCUGUACAGUUCCACCACAUCUAUAGUCAGAUGAACUGAACAAAAUAGCCCCAAAAUACUACUACUACUGCUACUAUGGAGGGGCUUUGUACUACCGGCUGCCUCUCCUCUGCUGAGCGCGCUCAGUAAGAGGCAGAGGAGGAGGAGCCUACCGACGAGCUGGGCAACUGCAAUACGGUGCCUGCCGCUGCUGCAGCUUCAGCGAUGCUCACCUCGAACACCCUCUGCCGCUCCAGACGACCAGUCUCGAAGCGGUGGUUCUCCUCAUAGAUCUCCUGAUUCCUCGCCUCUGAGGCAGCGUGUGUCAUGGCCACGGCGGUGGUAAGGCUCUUUGCGUGCUCGACGAGGCGCUCCACCUCCUCCCGCAGGAACUCGGUGUAGCACGCAAGGUCGCUGACGCACGUGCGGGCAUCCACCUUCGCCUCCCGCCUUCGGGUGCCGGUGGCGGAGCGGGGGAUGACCCCGGCGGUCGACGGUGGGCUGGCGGCAACGGCAGCCGACGAUGGGGUGGCGGCCACGACCACCACCUCCCGCCUUCGGGCCACGGUGGCGGAGCGAGUGAUGGCCACGGUGGCGGCACUGGGGUGGCGGCCACGACGGCCACCUCCCGCCUUCGGGCCGCGACGACGGAGCAGGCAAUGGCCCUGGCUUUCAACGAUGGUGUGGCAGCAACGGCGGCCGGCAACAGCUGCCGGCGGGCAGCGGCGGCGGAGCGUGUGGUGGGUGUUCCGCGCACACCCAACAGGGAUGCCACGUGCACUACACUACGUCGAGGACUGCGCGGCCGUGGUGUAGCCUCCCAGCUGGACCUGUCCUCUGAUGACGGUGGAGUGGCUGAGCGACGACGACGGACCGGUGCCAUUGGCGAUUGUGGGAGAAGCAGACGAGAUAAGCUACAGGGAGGAAGGGGAAAAUGCGACGCGGGACUCGCCGGCCGUGAGGGUUUAUAUAGCAGGCAGGUAAGCAUUGGGAUUUUGGGGGAUUUCACCGAAUGGGGCGGGAGCUUGCGCGGGAACGGGCUCACCGACGAUUCAUUGGCGCCACCGUUUGGCCAGAAGAACGCCCCCGCGCGCUGUGCAAGCUUGCGCUGUAAGCCAUCAGCGGCAGCGGGGUGACAAGACGUGCGAGAGGAGGACGAAAGGCCACGUACACAUACGGUUAAUAAAAAAAUGUUUGCGAUUUAAUUACCUACUAUACCCCCGUCCUGGUUUAUAAGUAUGAUUUAACUAAUAAAAUAUGAAUGCAUGUCGCCAAAUAUUAUAUAGUUGGAUUCGUAUUUGAACAUAGUUUCCAAUUUUAUAAUUUUUAUAACAUGCAUUAACAUUUUGUUGGUUAAAUUUGAGGGCAAAGUAUGGCACAUAAUAUAAAGGGGACUAUAGGCUGGACGGAGGUAGUAGCACACGGCCGCUCUCUACGCAACGACACAAUUGUGGGCCGGCUUGUAGGCGACCAUUUCCUGCGUGUUCAACUGCUCUAUGCGUGUGGUUGCUUGCGGUUCAGGCGGUCGCGGCGCGCUCUGCUCGCGUCCCGCCGCGCGUGCUCUGCUCUCACGUCCCUCUGGGUGCUCUACCCUCGUCCCUCCACGGGCGCUGCCAGUGUUUUGGGCCGGCACACGAUCACGCUCGUUCAUGUGCAUGCGGUUGCGCCGGGCGCGGCGCGAUAAUGCAGCUACCCGCUGCAAAAACUGCCAUGCAGACGUGCAGAGAAUCCAGGCCGCCCGCCCCCCAUUAAUUCCUGCAGCCAUUUACCUUCAUCUCUCACGUCACACGAUACAAUAAUCACACCCACGACGACACAUACAGAGAGGACAUCCAGAGGUUCCAAUGGCGCUCCCCGUGGCUCCAAUGGCGCUCCCAGGGGCCGACGAUGACAACGGCAGGCAGUUCACCACACAUCACGUAGUGGACACCCACGUGAGGGGGAAGGCCCUCUCGGUGGUGUACACGAACGAUCCGGUCUCGGUGGAGAGCUCCAUCCAAACUAUGGACCAGUUCCUUGCCGAGGAUAAGUACCGAGUGGUCGGCUUCGACCUCAAGUACACCAUCAGUCAUGCCGGGCACGAUCAGAAGGUUGCCGUUGCCUAGUUGUGCGUGCGACAUGACAUCCUCGUCUACCACUACCACCUUGCCACAAGGCCUUGCGAGCGUUUCUCCAGGUUUAUCAACAGCUCCGACUACAGUUUCGCUACGGUGGACACCACCAAUGAUCUAAAAGCGCUCAAGGUUUCGGACUUGAAAUGCCCGAAUCUUGUCAACAUCCAGCACAACUACAAGGUAUGGGGCAGUGACAAAAACAAACUGAACUCCCUGGUUGACCUCGUCUCGGCCAUCAUCGACCCCUACUACAUGAAGAUGAAGAAUGAGAGCAAGAAGGUCAAGAAUGCCUGGCACAGUGUGUGGCUUGAGAGACUGGAUGAACAACAUGUCAAGUACGCGACCAUGGACAUGUACACAAGCUACGAGAUGUACAGGCAGAUCGUUGACAUGAGGAAGUGUCUUCUUCCUGCCCCAGACGAGGGAUCGAGCCACAAAGUAGUGGCGGGAGCGUCACAAGAAGUAGAUGACUAGAUGAUCGUUUCUCCUACUUUAUAAUGCAUGCAAUUGUUUAUUGAGGUGUGUGCGAAUGAUCUGUAUAGUCACUUAUGUAAUUGGAUGUUUAUUUCAGUUAUAUAUAUAUAUAUACAUACAUUUUAUUCUUCUGUAAACAGAGCAAAUCACACGGCUUAUUAACAGCAAUCGUUUGUGUUAUUAUUGGUCUUCGCACACAUUUCUGAUUACGGACCUGUUUGCCACGUAUCACACACAUCUUGUUCAGUUGAACCGUUUCAUUGUGUUGCCUAAUCACACACAGUUCAUCCUAGUGAACCAUAUGCUGUAUAUAGUACACACCUUCAUCUGGCUGCCUGUUUCUUUUGUUCCUCCUCAUCUCAAAAAGUUAUUUCAACUGAACCGUAUGCCCUGAAUCGCACACGCAACUAAAAUCUAAAUCGUGUUUGAUGCAUCCGUCAUCGCAAACGUUUUGCACCUUUUGACGGGUUUUUUACACCACCGUUUGCGAUUAUGGCAUCACACACAGUAUCGGCGAAGGGUCUCUGAUCGUAGUGUCUCGUUUGGACCAUCCUGCAGUAAUGAAUAGUCUUUAAUAUGAUAUAAAGACACCAAUACUCUGACAUACCAACAAACAAUCAUAUAUUCUUGUCAUGCUUGGUCUUCAUAACAGUAAGUAUUAAUCAUGAACUACCCCGAUGAUAAGCCAAGCAAUUGGUUCAUACUUUUAACACGCUUCAGAUUUUUCAUCCUCACGCAAUACAUGAGCGUGAGCCAUGGAUUAGCAGUAUGGGUGGAAUGGAAUGCGGUGAUAGAGAUCAAUAAGGGGAAGUCAAAAAGGAAGAUAGUCUCACAUUAUGACGAUAUAGUAAGAACCAGGGUCCCACAAACCUUCUAGGCGUGGGGUCAUGCUAGUCUAGGGAUGUUACAAAGAAGCCCCGAAAAAGAGAUGAUCUUCCCAGCAAGCGAUGCGUUCUCAAGCGCUACAUCAACAAGCAAGACUAAGGACGCACUUGGAAGGAGCUCCUUCCCGGCAGUGCAUCUUCCUAGCAUUGGGAAGCACUACAACCAUAUGAGGAUGUCGACAAUCUUCCUUCCCAGCAAGGCAGAGCCAGCAAGACCAAGCACAUCCCAUGUACCGAUAAGAUCCCAGUUGCUUGCAAGCUCCGCACCGGCAAGCCAAGACCCGACAUGCUCCUUGCCGGGAAGUACCCCCAUCUCAAUUUUCGACCGCUCCACCUCAUCGACCAGAUGAUGGCUUGGCAAGAUUAGGUGUCGAGCGGAUAGGCGGCUUGGGGAGGAUCAUCAAGACGCGUGUCAGCAUGUCGCAUAAAGGUCAACGUUAUUGACACCCGUCUAGUGGACGUGUCAAGAUGACAGGCUCGCCCGGACCGGCAGCACAGAAGGAGAGACGCCUUUUGCCAAAGGAUCGUUAUCAACUCACGGUGCAUUAAAUGCCCUUGUCCUAGUCCGACAAGAUUAGGUUGGAUAGCAUCGAGGCCACUGUUCCAUAAGAUGUAAUGACCAUGUUGCCACUAUGUUGACCCCUUUUCGUCUAUAAAAGGAGGCUCAUGGCUACCUAGGCAUGGGUCGACACUUUGCUCACUCUUACACAGUAGUUGCACCUUGCACGCACCUUCCGACAAGUUGCACUUGUAACUUGAGCCCCAAGUUAAUCCACCCAAAGCUAGGAGUUGGGUUUUACGCCCCCAUGGUGGCCCAAACCUGGGAAAACCUUGCGUGUGAACUUCCGGAUUUGCUCCCUGUGCUCGUCGAUCUCCCCAGCUGAACUGCAAAGGGGCCACACUGGUCCCAUAGACUGUCGUGCCCCGACAUCUUUCACGCGCCAGGUAGGGGGAUCGCUUGCGCGGAUCUGAUCUAGCGGUCAGUGCGUCAGCUUCAUCAUCUUAAUCGUCAUGCACUACUGCAGGAUGCUGCUAACGCGACACUACGAUCAGAGACCCUUUGACGAAACUGUGUGCGAUGCAAUAAUCGCAAACGGUGGUGUAAAAAACCCGUCAAAAAGGUGCAAAACGUUUGCGAUGGAGGAUGCAUCAAACACCGUUCAUAUUUUAGUUGCGUGUGCGAUGCAAGGCAUACGGUUCAAUUCAAUUAACUGUUUGCGAUGAUGAGGAACAAAAGAAACGGGCAGCCAGAUGAAGGCGUGUGCGAUAUACAACAUACGGUUCAGUCGGAUGAACUGUUUGUGAUUAGGCAACACAAAAGAAAUGGUCAGCCAGAUCAAGGUGUGUGCGAUAUACGGCAUGCGGUUCACUCGAAUGAACUGUUUGCUUUGAGCCAAGAGAACAGAAACAGUUCAAUAUAACAAGAUGUGUGUGAUACGCGACAAACAGGUCUGUAAUCAGAAAUGUGUGCGAAGACCGAUAAUAACACAGACGAUUGCUGCUAAUAAGCCGUGUGUGUUGUGGGCAAACACUUGGUGGUAUACAAUUGUCAGUGAUUGAUGAAAUCAUCACCGACGGGUUCCCCAGUAUGGUCCGUGUGCGAUGUCAUUGCACACAGAACAACAACAAAUGUACUUACAACUUAUAAGGACUUGAUUCCAUAAACAGAUUGAACAUCGAAUUAGAUAUGUGGCUAGUACACACAUGACCUUUGCACACACCAAAGUACGUUCCAAAAUGCCUAGGAAACUCAAAUAAUGUAUAAAAAGGCAAAACAAACUAUGAAUAAUUUCAUAUUUUUAGGACGACGCUACUAUAUAUAGUUGUAUGUUGCCUCUGUAAAAUAAAUCAAGGCGAGAAGAGACAGCGUAUGUCGUUUCGCACACAUAGGUGACAAGGUCCCUCUCGGAACCAUGAGCCUUUUUGAGAGAAGCUUCGGUUUGUACGAAGUUUGUAUCAAAACUUGUCCCAAAUUGGACUAAUUUUUUACCACAACAUGUUGGUGCUAUGACAUAACACCAUGCCAAGUUUCAUGAUUUUGAGGCGAGUUUUGGAUUUACAGUAAUUUUAAAACCAGGUUUCUCAAUGUUUACUGUCGAGUCGGCACCGCCCUGGAUAGGCUUUUUCCUCGUGGGUCCCAAAUGAUAAAUCCAAAUCUGUGACUACCAUGCAACUUUUCUUAUUAAGAAUUACAACCCAUUUGGUGUGCAAGCUGAUAAUAAGUUUGUGGGUGCUGGUGGGCACUAAGAACUUGCGGUUCUGUAAUGAACAAAGAUCUCAAGGAUCCUGCGAGAGUGAUGUUCUUUCCCUAUGUUGUGCAUUCUUAUAAUAUUUAUGUCUUAAUUAAAGAAAUGGCAAGCCAUUGGCCCAGUAUGAAAGAAAAUAUGGGUCAAAGCCGAGUUCAAAAGGGCAACAAUAUAUAACUCCAGCUAACAAACAGUACAAAAGCACGAGGAUUAAUUGCUCAUUAGGUUUAGAAAAAAUCCAGAUUGAACAGGACAAUGACAUCUAACUCAACCAAAGUUUUCGGCAGUCACAGUCAAAUGGAUCGGUCUGAUCCAUAAAAUCAAGAUCCCCGGCCAGAAAUUCUACUGGUCCAUGAUGACAAGCUGUUGUAAAUAGAAGCCGAGCAUGAUCAGAAGCCCUUAGGUCCACCUGAAACUUCUUUUUAUGUUGUUCAACACUUGCAGCCGUAAGAAAUUUCUUGUUGAAAAACUUAAUCCUCACGGACAAUAGUGCCCUCGCAUUCAACAUGAAGAAUGUGACAAAGCUAGUGUUUGCAUUGUUGGAUGCAUAUCCUUCCAGUGUUACUGUCUUCAAACGAAUGUCAUGAGAUCUGAGAAAAUCCCGGUGCUUCUUGAGCCAUCGAUUGGUUAUAACUUUUUCUCCAUGUGUUAGUACCUAAAUAGAGAUGAAGAUUGAAAACAGUUAAUGUCUAAAAAAGAUUAUGUUGAAAGAGUGAUAGCUGAGCGAUUAAUUAUAGUACAUUUUAUAUGGGCUUUCAAUGUGCGUGAAAUCAUCACCUUCCUAUACAAAUUCUCCAGACAUGGAAAGCAUUGCAGCAAGGCAAUAAUGAUGUUGAGAUCAAAACACCACAUACUGAUAUAUAAGGUAUUGACAGAAUCCACCACCACUGAUAGGAUGGACAAGCGCUCAUUGAGCAUAGAACAUAAUAUUAGCACUGAAAGUGUACUCCAAGAUGAUACUUAAGUUAUGCGCAUAAAUGAAAAAUGCAAAUUACAAAAGUGUACGUGAAUAAUAUACAGUACCUUAAUAGGUGUGGAGGCAAACACCAUCUCGAACCAUUCAAACGGAUCACUAAUUGCACCCAAGGUCUCCAGUUUAGGCGCAGAGACCACAUUUAUUUGUGAAGGUUUAUAACAACAAUCAAGGAGCAACCUUUGAAGUGAAGGGGCUUCUUCGAUGAUGAGCUCCCUUCCUCCGAAAUGAAUUCCAAUGCUUACAAGGUGAGACGACUUUAUUUUGAGACAAGGGGUAUGGAUUCCUAGUCCAAAAACAAGCACCAAACGAUGCGGUGCAAGGCAGCUAGAGUGGAUGAUGUUGUGAAGUGAGGCCACUGACAGAUCAACCAACAUAAGUGCAAGUUUUUUCAGCAGUGGUAGUCGAAGCAUUUGUACCACAUAGUCUGCUAGAUGGCACCGGGUCAAGGUGGCGAUGUGGAGAGGGAGGAAAACCAUGAGAUGGGCAUCGGUGGUGAGGGUACAGAUGCAGCUCUUGGUGGUAACCUAUCGCUGUAGUAAUGGUAGAACUCAAGCUGCUGGAAUUUAUCGAAUUAACGGGAUGUCAGCCAGGUGGCCACCGUGCAGGGUAUGUCCAGCAGGUAGCAUGCCGGGAUGCGGAUGCGUUGAACGGAGCCCUUGUGGGAGGAGAUGAUGAGGACAUCAAUACCGUUGUUACACCCACAGUCCCUACUGCUACAUAUACUGGACCAUUUACUAGAGCUUGCGCACGCCAAUUAAAUUUUCACAUACUUCCGUUUCUUGGUAAUGAUUCUAAUGUCCAUGAGAAUAUGAUGCUUCCUAAAUUGGAUACAUUUGUUUUGCUUACAAAUGAAGGGCCUGGCAUGGAUAAGAGGGAUGAACACUGGAGCAAGACCAAGCACGGAGAGGAUGGCAUGCUCAAGGGGAACAAGAACGGAGUUACAAGUGAUGAUUUCAGGACUUUGAAGCCACCAUAAUGAGUGCAUGAAGCCUUGGACGAAAUAUACAAGAUGCCACUUCAUAAAUUUCAUCCAAAGGCUAUUCUUGGUGAUGCGUCACCUUAUUAUUUGGCCAAGCCCAUGUAAUUUCGAAAUACAUAAGUAUAGGCUGUUUUUAGAGUCCGUAUGUGUGGGGAAACAAGAGAUAGGGUUGGUUUUGGACCCCUUCCCCAAGGGCCACGAAAUCCCCCCCCCCCUCUUCCUGCAUAUAUACAGCCCUUAGGGCACCGUUUAGACUUUGGGUUUUGUUUAGAUUAAAGUUCGCCAUAGCUGCAACUUCGCGUACUUCGUUUGUGUUCAACAACCAAACAAAGGCGUCACAGAACCCCACCUUGAUCAAUAAAGCUUUCCUCUUAUAUUAGCAAUAUCCAGAUUGCAAUCUUAGUUUCUUGCUUGUUCUUUGUUUGCCUGCAGGAAAUAGACCUUCGUGGUCAGGUUGAUCAUGCUCCGGCGUGGUCAAUAACCUCUCGGAGUUGGUUUAGCGAUUGCUAAGGCGCGACGUCCUCGCACGUUCGUAGUCGGAUCGUCAAAGUCGACUUCCUCCAAAACGAUAGCCACCAUCUCAUCAAAAGACGGACACCUUUGCCUCUAUCUAGUGGUAUCGGAUUUUCAGGUUGCUCGGUGAGAUUUUAUAGUUUUUCAUAGUUUAGAUCGACUAUGUCCUUCAUACCUACAGUCCACGAAAAAGCCACAAAAAAAUAGGGUUAGUUCAUCAUAUCCGAACCAGUUUGAGCCUUUGCAUAGUCUUUUCAGUAUUUUGCUUUGUUGAAUUUGCGGUUGCCUCGUCGUGUCAAGUUGCUGGUCUUAGCGUCUAGUUUCCCUUAGAGUUUCGAGUUCUGCUCACAAGUUGUCACGCCGUCGCCGCACCAUCGUCAUCGCUCCUGCCAUAUACCACCACCACCAACAUAUUCCUUACCGCUGCCAUAUACAUUCGCCUGUCCACCACCAAUCCGAUCCACAUAUACAACCAAUCCGAGUCACAUAUACAUCCCCCUGUCCACCACCAAUCCGAGUCCACAUAUACAUCCGCCUGUCCACCACCCAUCUGAGUCCACAUAUACAUCUACCUGUCCACCACCAAUCCGAGUCCUUUCCAUAUUAGGUUUGUUUUCGAGAUACUUUUAUUUUCCGAUUUGUGUUUCCUUGCCUGAGUAGGUUUCGUAAAAAAACAAAAGUCUGGAGACCCCCGGGCAGUUUUUAGGCCAAAAUUUCGGCGACCAAAUUUUUUCCCUAUCCUAUUUUUAGGCUUUUCUGAGUCUGUUAAGCCACGUGUCAUCAUAGUGAUUUUUUGUCGCACUUUUUCGUCGUCGCUGCCUUGAUUUCCGAAAAAAAUAGUCAAAACAUUUCGUGCCCAUCCUGUCAUUUUGACCUGGAAGAGUUUUGAGACACUCGCCAUUAUAGUGAUUUUUGGCAAAAAAAAAAAAAGAGGAGCACAAAAAAAAAGAGCGCCAAUAAAAAUAGAGCGAAAAAACAAAAAAUUCCAGAGUGUGCUUUUCCCUUGUUUACGUGCAGCGCCGUGAUUUUGUUCGUGUUCUAGGCUCGCGUCUCUAGUACGGUCUAGCCUAGGACCAGCACAGUACCGUCGUUGAGCGUUUAUUCAACUUUGCAUCUCAGAAUUGAUUAUUGCUGACCCUUUUUGCUACCAUAUUAUAAGCCUUCCCAGCUCCACAUACAUCUACGUCGUGCGUUUGACUCUCCCUGGUAAUCGCUCUAUCCUAGCUUUGAGAGUUUUGACUACAACGGUUGCCGAUCACCACCUGCUGCUUGGUAAGAACUGGUAAGAAUUUGAGAUUUGCUUGACUGAUUUGUGACGCCCCACCACCACCAUUUUCUAGUAGUUUGUAGGAUCAUAUUCUUGUGUUUUUCUAUUACUGCUAACCAUGGCAGGAUCACAAGUCAAUGAGACUGACUGGGAGAACAUGACGAAUAUGGAGUUGCAUGAUAAAUUUCAGCAAAUGAUGACUGAACAGGUGCAAGAUGUGCUGAACAAUUUUGAAGAGGCCAUGGAUAGGAUAACUGGCUUUGAGAAGACGUUCGAAACAAAGCUCGAUAACAAAUUUAAUGAAGUGCUUGCGCGUCUUCCACAACCAUCACCGGCUGCACCUGCCGCACCUCUGCCACAACAACAACAACAACAACAACAACAACAACAACAACAACAACGACGACUAUCUCCAUGUCGUGAAACAGCCCUCCGCCGAGCGAGCCGUGUCCCUCUUGAGCCUGGCCAAACUUUUGGUGCUGUUGUUGAUACUUCUGUGGCUCCUGCUGCUGAUGAGGAGGAGGAUGAUUAUGCAGGAGAUUACGAGGAUGAAGUUGAUCAAAAUCAGAACUACGUGCAACCACCAGCACCCGGUCGUCCACAUGCAAAUAAUUCCAACUACUUGGGCUGCUUUGAAAACUGAUAUGCUUAGUCGUUGGGUUCCACCAUAUUAUCAACGUGAAUUACUUCAAAAAUUGCAGCGUUUAAGAUAAGGAAAAAAUUAUGUAGAGGAAUAUUAUCAGGAAUUACAAACUGGCAUGAUUAGAUGUGGUAUUGUUGAGGAUAAUGAAGCUAUGCUUGCAUGUUUUAUGGGUGGAUUAAAUAGAGAGAUUCAGACCAUUCUAGAGUAUAUGGAGUAUAAUAAUAUCACUCAUUUAUUCCAUCUUGCUUGUAAAGCUGAACGUGAAGUGCAGGUUCGACAGGCAUUAGCGCGAACUAACUUUUCUGCAGGUCGACCUUCAUCAUGGACACCACGUGCAUCCUCUACUUCCACUGCACCAUCACCUCCAUCAGGUGCCACCUCCAACCGUGAUACAAGAAAGCAGGCACAACCACCACUAUCUGCCAAGAGCACACCUGUCGGGCCUGCACAGAGCUCUUCUUCUUCCAUGGCAUCAACAGGGCACACAAGUGAUAUUAUUUGUCGCCGUUGUAAGGGAAUUGGUCAUUAUGCGAGAGAAUGCAAAUCUCAGCGUGUGAUGAUUGCCACUGAGGAUGGUGGAUAUGAGUCCACUAGUGACUAUGAUGAGGAGACUUUGGCUCUUAUUACACGUGAAGAACAUGGUGGAGAUGAUUCUGAACAUGAGACACAAUACAUGGCUCCUGAAGAUGCUGACAGGUAUGAAUGUUUGGUUGCUCAACGUGUUUUGAGUGUGCAGGUUACACAAGCUGAGCAAAAUCAGAGGCAUAAUUUGUUCCAUACAAAGGGAAUUGUGAAGGAACGUUCUAUUCGUGUCAUCAUAGAUGGAGGGAGCUGCAACAACUUGGCUAGCAUGGAGAUGGUGGAGAAGCUAUCUCUCACCACAAGACCACAUCCACAUCCUUACUACAUCCAAUGGUUCAACAAAAGCGGCAAGCUUAAGGUAACACAUACUGUUCAUGUGCAUUUUAGUAUCUCUACAUGUGCUGAUUAUGUUGAUUGUGAUGUGGUACGCAUGCAAGCAUGUUCCUUAUUACUUGGUAGACCAUGGCAAUUUGGUAAAAAUUCUGUACACCAUGGUUAUGAACAAGAGUAUACUGAUUGUUUCUACGUCAAGUACAAACGAAAGUACCAGAAAAUUUAAUUGGCGUGCGCGAGCUCUAGUAAUUGGUCCAGUAUACAAGAACGGAGUUACAAGUGAUGAUUUCAGGACUUUGAAGCCACCAUAAUGAGUGCAUGAAGCCUUGGACGAAAUAUACAAGAUGCCACUUCAUAAAUUUCGUCCAAAGGCUAUUCUAGGUGUUGUGUCACCUUAUUAUUGGGUCAUGCCCAUGUAAUUUCAAAAUACAUAAGUAUAGGCUCUUUUUAGAGUCCGUAUGUGUGGGGAAACAAGAGAUAGGGUUGGUUUCGGACCCCUUCCCCAAGGGCCACGAAGACCCCCCCCCCCUCUUCCUCCAUAUAUACAGCCCUUAGGGCACCGUUUAGACUUUGGGUUUUGUUUAGAUUAAAGUUCGCCAUAGCUGCAACUUUGUGUACUUCGUUUGUGUUCAACGACCAGACAAAGGCAUCACAGAACCCCACCUUGAUCAAUAAAGCUUUCCUCUUAUAUUCGCAAUAUCCAGAUUACAAUCUUAGUUUCUUGCUUGUUCUUCGUUUGCCUACAGGAAACAGACCUCCCUGGUCAGGUUGAUCGUGCUCCGGCGUGGUCAAUAACCUCUUGGAGUUGGUUUAGCAAUUGCUAAGGCGCGACGUCCUCGCACGUUCGUAGUCGGAUCGUCAAAGUCGACUUCCUCCAAAACGAUAGCCACCAUCUCAUCGAAUGAUGGGACACCUUUGCCUGUAUCAAGAGAUGAUGGCUCAAGGGAGUUCAGAAUCAUCAUCGACAAAUAGCUGACGAUAGUCGAGAUUAAGAGGUGCGGUGCACCAAAGAGUGCGCCACCGAGAUGCGAGGACUUGUGUGCGGCAGCCAUCCUUGGUGGGGAGAAGGGAGAUGAUGUCCCCAAGGAUGUCGUCCGGGAUAUCGCUGAUGCUGUCCGCCGGAGAUUCUACUAGUUCCUAUGGUCCAGGGGGCGCUUUUGGCCGCACAGCCGGGUCCAAGAUCUACAUCCGGAUGCGGCGCUGGCCGGAGCCUCAUCUGUGUACAUACCAAUCUAAAAGAAAAAAUGGCAUAACAUGUAGGACAUUCGAAAUCAAUUCUCAAGAUCAGGAAGAAAAAAGGCACAAACAUAUAUAUAGGACAUUCAAAAUCAAUUCUCAAGAUCUGGCCAUGAAUUAUUAGCACGGAAGCUAACCCUAGUAGGAUUAUUAGCAAAAAUCAUUUUUUACCGAACAAACAAUUAAUCACUAACUCUAUACGGAUAACAUUCAAACAAUCAAUACACUAUGUGCAUCUAAAGGAUCUUAAUUACUCUGAUUUCAUGGACUGACAGAACAUAACCAUUGGNNNNNNNNNNNNNNNNNNNNNNNNNNNNNNNNNNNNNNNNNNNNNNNNNNNNNNNNNNNNNNNNNNNNNNNNNNNNNNNNNNNNNNNNNNNNNNNNNNNNNNNNNNNNNNNNNNNNNNNNNNNNNNNNNNNNNNNNNNNNNNNNNNNNNNNNNNNNNNNNNNNNNNNNNNNNNNNNNNNNNNNNNNNNNNNNNNNNNNNNNNNNNNNNNNNNNNNNNNNNNNNNNNNNNNNNNNNNNNNNNNNNNNNNNNNNNAAAAUUAUAGAGGGGCGGGGUGUGUGUGUGGGGGGGGGGAUUAACCAGAGAAAACACAUGAUAUGUUUGCCGCACAAAUGGGUAUAUAGAUGACUAAUCGGUUUUCCUUAGGAAUCGCAGUCGUUGCCGGAGUUGCUGUUGACCUCCGGCUCCGGCUGGGGGGGGGGGCACGACGGCACCGAUGAAGUCAAGGUCGUACUGCUGCCCGCGCGACACCUCGUCGGCGGCCACGGAAACAUCUAUGGCCGGUUUAAUGCGUUGCGCGGGCGCUUCACCAGCCCUAGCGUCGCCACUCCCUUCGAUGGUGCGCUUCGGCGGCAUCGUCAUACACUCUGGAGUCCAGACGUUGGUGACCACUAUGGACCGGGGGUGUGGCCGCCUAUUAUGGACGCCGGCUCGGGCACGCUAUUAAUACGGACCAAUGGGAGCGAGGCAGGCUGCGGUCAAAAGCUGUCUCGCCUCCUGGUGAGCCUGCGUGGCGGACUUCUGCCAUUCCUACCAUCAUUUCACACAGCUACUCGCACGCCUCCUCGUUAAUACGCACACCUGCACGCAGGCCUCCCGGUAUUCCUGCGCGGCGGACUGCUCGCAUGCGUCCCGUCAACUCACACGUGCUCGCACGGCACACGGGGCGUGUGGCAGCACGUAUAUUUUUUUGUUUACUUUCUACUGCUUUACUGCUUAACUAAACCGUUUGCGUUAAAGAGAUGAACAAAUCCUACGUUGAACAGCUCGCACGCUUCCCGGUGAACCUUCGCACCGGAUGAGUUUUGGAUUUACUAGAAUUUAAAAACCAGGUAUCUCAAUGUUUUGCCGGCAACCAAUUUAUAUGCACUGGAGCAUGUGUGUAACAUCCCAAAAUUCUAAAUUAUGGAAUGUUAUAUUAAAUAAGUAUAAUGAUUGCUUGUGUGAUUUGUUAUGUGAAAUUGAGUGGAAUUUGAAACUUUUUGUAGCGACCCGACCUUAGACGGCCAAGUCUCUGUACUUAAGUGUCAUCCCUGGAUCGAUAUGCUGACACACACAGUACUCGAGGAUUUAUAACAGAGGUAAAUCACAUGUAUAAAGUAACGUAAAUACUAUUACCUCAAUCCAAAUAGCGGAAGUAACAACAAGGUUGUGGAUUCCCAUCAACUCCAACGGCAAAGUUGAGUGUAGAAAUCGUAACCCUAAUGUAUCACUUACUCGUCAUAAGAAUCCUGCAACACGAGACGUUGCAGCCACAAAGGGUCAGUACAUUGAAUGUACUGGCAAAUUCACACCAUAGAGCAAAUGAUGAAUAAUGGCUAUCACUACAUGCAUAUAUGGCUGGUGGAGGCUCUAUGGUUAAAAUGUUUUUGCGAAAAGCCAAUUUUUCCCUACUGCAAAGGAAUAUCUUUUAUUUAACUACAGAGUUGGUUGAUAAAUAUUGAGAAGGUUCCUCCAACUCAAUCCCAAAAUAACAAUCAUUAACCCAAUCAAAUUAAUUAAAUAAAGUGUUGAGAUCAACAUGAUAAUUCAAGAACCAGAUACUCAAGAUGUCCAUAACCGGGGACACGGCUAAUCAUGAUUAGUUUGUACACUCUGCAGAGGUUUGCGCCCUUUUCCCCACAAGACUCGAUCUCCUCCGUUGGAUUUCUCGCACUACAUGGUGUUUGAGAAACGGAUGACCGAGACACAGUCUUUCAGAAGCAUUAACUCUAACCCUGGGUAGACAGUACCAACCUACAUCCCCUACAUAUGCUAGCCUACCACUGGAAGAGGUCAUGCAACAUACUCAACUAUGCUAGAGCCCAUAAUAGCUUGUGGCUGCACACCGAAGUUUCUAGCAUGAAUAAUCUUAUGAUCCCUUUGAGCCUGGGUGGCAUUCCUUAGGGUGAUCACACGGGUCCUCCGGGAUCCCCUUGGGCAAGCACUGGGUUCUCCAGGUGCCCGGGCAGACCACUGGGUGCUCCAGGGUGCCCCUACCAUUCCACCCAGAUUGUGUAUUAAAGUAGCCACCUUAAGUUAACCAUUAACGAUAACUCUCACAUCUGUCAUGAAUACCCUCAACAAAUCCACGUCUACGAGCAUAGCAUAGCAGUACGAGCAUAACGUAAAAGUAACUCCCAAGGUUUGAAUGCAGGACAAUAGGUUCCUACCUCAUCAACUACUUCCCAACACCCACGUAUUAAUCACAUCCUACUCAUGCAAUGUUUGAGGGUGAAACUAAUGCAUAAAAACUGGGUAUGAAAGGGAUAUGAUCAAAGUGUGAACUUGCCUCGUACUGUUGAUGAAGAUGAUUCGCACUCAUAACUCCUGAUAGUUCUACUCGUCACACGCCGGUCAAUCUAUCGUGAGCAAGCAAUAGUAACCACACAUAAGCAACCAUUCAAAAGAUCGGAAAGAACGAAGAAGACAAUUCGGAAAAAAUUAAAACCAAGCAAAUAACUCUUGCAACAUAAAACAAUUCCUAACAAUACCAAAAUUAUGUGGAUUUGGCCUUCUCAGAAAGUUUAGGUCAAGAGCUUCGAUUUGCAAAAAGAAUCAAUUCAAACGGAGUUACGGAACUCAAGUUACGAUCAAAAGAAGAUUCAAAUCAAAUCUGUUUGAAUUCAAAUUUUAAAACUUUCAAAAAUAUGUUCAAGUUUAUUUACUAGAUAGAGGGGAUCAUAACAAAGAAGUGGGCGUUGGUUUCGUUCGAUUUGGAUAAACGAGCGAAAAGUUGUGAUAGAUUGAAAAGCAGGGGCUUAACUGUAAAGAAAAUAAUCACAGAUAGGUCCCUGGCCGAAAUUAAAAAGAAAAAGAAAAACUCUACCGAACAAACGUUUGCUACAGAAGCAUAAGCGACGAGUUCGUCCACUACAGAGGCCUAACCAGUGAAAGUUCACUAUUUGGAUCUAACUAAAAGAAAACCGAUCUAAAUAAAAUAAACCGAACUAAGAGAAGAAACCGGACGGGUUUACGAUUUAUACCGGUUCACCAAAACAAAACCGGCGACGGCGGUGGUUACUCCGGCGAGGCGACGGCGUGGCGGCGAUUUGGAUCGGGCGGCGGCUCUGGCGAGGUGCGGGCGGUGGCUGCGCGGGGCGGGCGUUGGGCGGCGGGAGGCNNNNNNNNNNNNNNNNNNNNNNNNNNNNNNNNNNNNNNNNNNNNNNNNNNNNNNNNNNNNNNNNNNNNNNNNNNNNNNNNNNNNNNNNNNNNNNNNNNNNNNNNNNNNNNNNNNNNNNNNNNNNNNNNNNNNNNNNNNNNNNNNNNNNNNNNNNNNNNNNNNNNNNNNNNNNNNNNNNNNNNNNNNNNNNNNNNNNNNNNNNNNNNNNNNNNNNNNNNNNNNNNNNNNNNNNNNNNNNNNNNNNNNNNNNNNNNNNNNNNNNNNNNNNNNNNNNNNNNNNNNNNNNNNNNNNNNNNNNNNNNNNNNNNNNNNNNNNNNNNNNNNNNCGCGGCGGCGGCGACUCGGUGCGUGGUGGCGAGGCGCAGCUUUGCGGCGUCGGGGCCCGGGGCCCGGCUAUAUAUAGCCUCGGGAGGGGGGCGGUGGCUCGGGACGAGUCCGGCGGCGUGCGGGACGAGGACUCCCAGUGUGGGGCGGUUGCCGGUUGGGCUUCGGCCCAGUUGGCCCAGUCCGGAGAAGAAGUUUUUUUUAUAUAAAACAUUUUUUCUAAGAGAUAAUAAAAACAAAAGAAAAACAAAAUAAGAUAAAAAUAUAAUAUAGACAUAUUAUAUAUCAAAGUUUUCAGAGAAAGAUUUUCUUCCGCAUGAACAUUUUUCUAGCACCAAAUAAAAUCUACAAAAAAUUCAAAUAAAUCAAACAGUGCUACUGCUCUAAUAAAAUCCAAUAAAAAUUCAUUUGAAAAAUACCAAAAUAAUUUCAAAUUUAUUUCUCUCCAGUUUUCUAUUGUAGGGAAUCAUUUUACCCUAAUUUCCAAAUAUUUUAUUUUUGGAGAAAAAUAAUUUGGAUAAAACUCAAAUAACUCCAAAUUGAAAAAAUAAUCUCAAAUGGACUUUAAAUUUGAGUUCUUUGAAACUUCCAACUCAUAUUUCAUAUGUUUUGAAGAAGUCAUUUUAUCUUCUCUGAUGAAAAUCAUUGAGUUGCUUAAAGUUUCUGAAUUUGAAAUAUUUUCAAAUGAAAUUCAAAUAUUUUCAACAACCCUUUUCAUUUAUUUAAAUGGAAGAAGUCAUGUCGUCUUCUCUCUAGGGUUUUGUAUUUGAAAAGAAUUUGAAUUCAUGGAGAUCAUAAAUGCAAAAAUGAAAGUUUCGGAAAGUCCUCUUAUUCCUUCUCAUUCAACUUCAAAAGUUUCGAACUUCACUCAAUUUCACACAAUCAAUCAAACAAUCAAUCAUAACUACCUAUCUAAUAUAACAUUCCAAAAUUUAGAAUUUUGGGUUGUUACACUUUUAGAAAGUUAAAUGAGAGGGAAUAAAAGGACAUUCCCAAACUUUCAUUCUUGCUUUUGGUUCCUUGGAAUUCAAGAUUAAAUUCAAAACAAACCCUAGAGUGAAGAUAACAGGACUUCUUCCAUUUGAAAUAAAAAUGUUUUGUUUUUAAGAUUUGAUUUCCAUUUGAAACUAAUUCAAACUCAGAAACUUUAUGCCACUCAAGGAUUUUCAUGAGAGAAGAUAUAUAACUUCUUAAAAUAUUUAUGAAAUAGAGUGGGGAGUAAUGAGUACCAAUUUCAAAACUUAUUUGGAGCACUACUUGGAAUUUUCUCUUUUCAGUUGGAAUUUCAAAUCAUCUCAAAUCCUCUGAAUAUAUAAUAAUAGAGUGAAGGAAACAUGACCCUUCAAACUCAGAGAAGAUUUGAGAAAUAUUUUAAUAAAUAAAACAGAAAACUAUUUGCAAAAGAUUUGAAAAUGAAAUUCAAAUCCGAUAAUAAGUUAGUAAUAAAAAUGUUUUUUUGUAAUUUAUUUUUCCUCUGAAAAUUAGUUCAUAUUUUUCUUCGUUUUAUUCUAAGAAUUUUGAUAUAUAAUUUGUCUAUGCAAAAUUUAUGUUAAAUUUCUUUUAUGAAUUUUCUUUCUCAGUUUUAGAAAAGAGAGAGAGAGAGAGAGAGAGAGAGAGAGAGAGAGCCCACCGACCGAGCCUGACCAGGCCACCCGGCCCAGCCCCGCAGCGGCCUGCACCGCGCCGAACCGCCACCGCCUCGCUCGCCCGCUCCCUUCUUCGCGUGCACGAUGCCUCGCCCGGCCACCGACAGGUGGGACCCACCUGUUGGGUUCGUCUUCCCCAAGCCAAGCGGACUCCUCCUCCUGACGCCAUCGUCGGCCAACGCCGAGUCCUCCCUGGACUCCUUCUCUCGCCCUUGCCCCUCGCCCGUGCAUCGCCCCGCCUCCCUCCUAUAUAUAGCCCCGACCCCGGCCUCUUUUUCCUCAACCCACAGCCCCGAAAGCCACCGCAGCCCGUGCCCGCACUCGCCGGAGUUCGAGCCGCCGCCGCCUUGCCCCGCGCUCCGCCGCCGCCGCUGUUGGAUUCGCCUCAACGCGCCGCACCUCCCCGACCGCUCCGCCGUCGCCGCAGACCACCGGAACCGCCGCCCACCAGAAGUCGAAGCUGCCGUCUUGUUCGUCGUCGACGACCACCACCGCCGCGGUACGCCAUCGGACCCCCUAGUCCGUUCGAUCUAGAUUAGACGGCCUAGAUUAGAUCGCGUAUUUGUUUUGUUCCUUUUUCUAUCGAAACGGUAUGCGCUAAGUAGUGAACGUUCACUGGUUUAGAUCCACGGCGAACGGUUUUCAGCCUAUCAUUUUCUGCCACGUGUCCAGGGACCUAGAUGUGUUUUUUUCAGAUUAGCCCCUGUUUUUCAAACUAGCACAACUUUUCAACCGUUUGUCCAAACUCAGUGAAACCAAUGCUAAAUUCUUCGUCAUGAUCUCAACUAUCCAGAAAACUUAUGAAUUCAAGUUUUUGAAAUUUUAAAAUUUGAAUUAUAUCAGAUUUGAAUUUAAACUUGUUUUGGCUAUAACUUGAGUUUUAAAACUCCGAUUUAAUUGAUUCUUUUUGCAAAUCGAAGCUCUUGACAUGUACUUUCUGUUAAGAUCAAAAUCACAUAAUUUUUCUACUGUUAAAAAUAUGUUUCUAUCUAGAAGCUUUAUUUAAUGAUUUUGAAGUUUUUCAAAGUAUUUUCUUCAUUCUUUUGGAUCUUUGAGUGAUUGCUUAUAUGUGCAAAUAAUUGCUUGCUUAUGAUAGAUUGAUCAGAGUGUGACGAGUAGAACUACCAGAAAUAUGAGUGCGAAGAAUCUUCAUCAACAGUACAAGGCAAGUUCACACCUUGAUCAUACUUUUCUAUACCCAGCUUUUACUAUGCAUUAGUUCACUCUUACACAUUUGCAUGAGUAGGAUUGGGAAUUGGGGCAUUUCUAUGUAGUUCAUGAGGUAGGAACCUAUGAUUUGAAACACCCCGGGAAUAUUCGUUAUGUCAUAUAUUGCUUAGCCAUGCUAGUAGACGGGGAUUGGCAUGUGUGAUUCAUGAAAGAUGAGAGAGAUAUAAUAAUUAAGGGUAACUUUAAGGUGGCAAUAUUAACACACAUCUUGGUGGAAUGGUAGGGGCACCCUGGAGAAACCAGUGCUUGCCCAAGGGGAUCCAGGAGGACCCGUGAGAUCACCCUAUGGAAUGCCACCCAGGCUCAAAGGGAUCAUACAAUAUUUCAUGCCUAGAAACUUUCGUGUGCAGCCAUAAGCCAUUAUGGGCUUUGGCAUAGUUGAGUAAGUUGUUGGAAACCUUUCCAUGAUAGGCUAGCAGAUGUAGGGGAAUUGUAGGUGUACCGGCCUAUCUAUCGGUUAAGGGGACCUCUUCAGAAAGACUAUGUCUCGAUAACCCGGUUCUCAAACAUCAGGCAGUGCAAGUAAAUCAACAGAGGAGAUCGAGUCUUGUGGGAAAAAAUGCGCAAACCUCUGCAGAGUGUACAAACUAGUCAUGAUUAGUCGUGUCCCCGGUUAUGGACAACUAUGACUAUCUAGAAGUGGAUUAUUGGUUGAUCUUAUCAUGUUACGUAAUUAAUGUAUUGGGUUAUUAAUAAUUUGGGAAUUUUGGGAUUGAGUUGGAGGAACUUCUCAAUAAUGGCAUAAACUUGGUAGUAAAAUAAAAAUGUAUUCCUUUGUUGUAGGAAAAAAUUAGCUUUAUGCAAAAUUAAACUUAGAGCCUCCACCAGCCAAAUAUGCAUAUAGAGAUAGACAUUUUCAUCAUUAUUCUAUGGUGUGAAAUUGCCAGUACAUUCAACGUACUGACCUACAUGGCUGCAAAGUCUCAUGUUGCAGGAAUCUUACAACGAGUAAGUGAUACAUUAGGGUUACGAUGUCUACACUCAACUUUGCCGUUGGUGUUGUUGGGACUCCACAACCUUGUUGUUACUUCCGCUAUAUGGAUUGAGGUAAUAGUAUUUACAUUACAUUGUACAUGUGAUUGAACUCUGUUAUAAAUCCUUGAGUACUGUGUGUGUCAGCAUACCGAUCCAGGAAUGACACUUAAGCACAGAGACUUGAUCCAUUGGGGUUGGGUCGCUACAAGAUGGUAUCAGAGCACAUGUUGACUGUAGGACGUGACACCUAGAAACUGGCAAGCCCAUAGGAAAGGAUUUCUCUAAAACUUUAUUUUCAAAAGAGAUCCCUUAACUCUCAUCUUUUCUAAGCUUUACCAAGUUUUUCCUCUCACCUCAAGUAGUUGGACUAUACCCUUUUCCCCUUUUGACCACACGAAGAUUUGACUGAUGAGACCACUCCAAGAAGGAUCCAAUAUCAGACAACUAAUGACCUCUUCGGAGUAAAGAGGAUUUCACCAUGCAUUAGAAGUGUUGAAGCUACAACAGUUGAAUACUCCGAAGACUUGAAGAGUUUGACGACUUUGAAGAUUUAUUGACCUUUAGAAGACCAAACCCCUGUUAUAUACUUAUGUUAGAUGCGACGAUUGUGAGCUAUCAUUUGUUUGAUGUUUUUUCGAGGGCCACACAAAAUAAAAUCGUCUCUUACAAAACUAUUGUUUGUAUUGUGUGUAUCCCUCUCUAUCUCUCUUAUCUCACCCCAAAACCCUUGGAACCAAUAGAGGAUGAAUGAAGAUAGACUUGUAUUGAUAGAGGCGAAGGCGUGCCGUCUUUCGAUGAGAUGGUGGCUAUCGUUUAUGGUGGAGUAGACUUUGACGAUCCGAGUACGAACGUACGAGGACAUCGCGCCUUAGCAAUCGCUAAACCAACUCCGAGAGGUUAUUGACCACGCCGGAGCACGAUCAACCUGACCACGAGGGUCUGUUUCCUGCGAGCAAACGAAGAACAAGCAAGAAACUGAGAUUGCAAUCUCGAUAUUGCGAAUAUAAGAGGAAAGCUUUAUUAAUGAAGGUGGGGUUCCGUAACGCCUUUGUCUGGUCGUUGAACACAAAUGAAGUACGCGAAGUUGCAGCUAUGGCGAACUUUUAAUCUAAACAAAACCCAAGGAAAAAGCUAAUAGAUGGAUCUACUUAUAUAGGAGCAAGGGGUGGCGGCCAUGGAGGUGGGAGGACGUCCCGAGGCAGCCUAAAACUAAUCCUAUGUCGUACAAGGCCAAUGGGCCCAAGUGGAGGUGACGUAACACCUUUGGAGUUGUCGUUUGACUCGGAUUCUGCUGCAGCAUCAGAUUGUUUCGUCCAUAACUCAACGUUCUGAACGAAUUUGAAGGUGAAUCCCAUUGGGUUUGAAAGUGCACGAAAUCCAUUUUCCAACAAAAAAAGAAUCACCCAAUUCGGAGUUAGGAUGAAAAAGUUAUUGACGUUUUGAGUCAGGUAUGUCUGUGCAGUCCGAAUCUGAGUCCAGAACGUGAGAGACUUGGGCUCUAUCCUCUCUUGGGCCAAAAGUGACGUGAGAGAACUUUUUGAACAUCAAGUAAACAUCUCUUUCUCCCUUAUCUUCAUAUGUGGAUUGUACAAAUGUCCCACAGACCUCAGAAAUAUACAUGUAUACUAUAUUUUUGGUCGUAUCCAAGGUAGGCAUUUCCUCAUCAUGUAUUCUCUGGACCGAUGACCCAGCCGGAGGCAGAGCUAUGGAUACAGAACAUAGAGGAUCACUUCAGGAAAAAUUUGAUUGCAAGGAAGUAUGAGGUUCAAUACGCUCUUCAGUACUUUACAAAAAAGUGCCGCUACUUGGUUGAGUAUGUAUCAAGCUAUCAAUGGAUAGCAAGGAGCAACCACUUGGGAAGAAUUUAAGCUGAAGCCUUGUGGAAAUGAUAAGAAUAAACCUUGUGCAUGCAAGCUUUGUGGAGAAAUAAGACACAACCAUAAAGAACACAAGGAUGAAUGCCCUCAUUGUGAAGAAAGUCACCCAGCUGAAGAAUGCCCAACUAGGCAUAUUACUUGUUUCUUGUGUGAAGGGACUACGCACUACCCUGCUGAGUGUCACAUUUACCCCAUGGUACAAUGAACUAUCCAAUAGAAGAAAGAAGUGAUAAAAGAAGCCCUCGGGAAAACUUUAGAAAAACCCACGAUGAAGGAAGAUUUUGAGGACACACCCGAAGAAGACCCAAUUAAACCAUGCACCAAGUCAUGCUAUUCAUGUGGAGAAGAAGGACACAUCUCCCAGAAUUGUCCGAAGGAGGAUCUAGUAGAAUUCCGGACAGAGGAAGUAGAGUAUGACCCACAAGAGAUAGAAGCCCUAAUUGGUACAGAAAAGUCCAGGAAGACAAACAAAAUGUAUCCCCAGAACAACCCAAUUUCUACAAAGAUGGACCUGAGUCAUAUCACAUGUUUCAGGUGCAAAGAUCUAGGGCACUACUUCAGUGGUUGCCCAAAAAGGAAGCCGAGGACCCAAGGAGGCUAUGUAAUCACAAGGAAACCUCCAUACUUGUCAGAAGUAAUAUGUUUCCGCUGUAAUGAAGUGAUGAGGACAUCAAUACAAUUAUUACACCCACAGUCCCUGCUGCUAUACAUACUGGACCAAUUACUAGAGCUCGCGCACGCCAAUUAAAUUACCAGGUACUUUCGUUUCUUGCUAAUGAUUCUAAUGUUCAUGAGAAUAUGAUGCUGCCUAAAUUGGAUACAUUUGUUUUGCUUACAAAUGAAGGGCCUAGCUUUGAGAAGGAUGAACAUUGGAGCAAGAACAAGCAUGGAGAUGAUGGCAUGCGCAUGGGGAACAAGAACGGAGUUACAAGUGAUGAUUUCAGGACGUUGAAGCCACCAUAAUGCGUGCAUGAAGCCUUGGACGAAAUAUACAAGAUGCUACUUCAUAACUUUCGUCCAGAGGCUAUUCUAGGUGCUGCGUCACCUUAUUAUUGGGCCAGGCCCAUGUAAUUUCGAAAUACAUAAGUAUAGGCUGUUUUUAUAGUCCGUAUGUGUGGGGAAACAAGAGAUAGGGUUGGUUUCGGACCCCUUCCUCAAGGGCCACGAAAUUCCCCCCCUCUUCCUCCAUAUAUACAGCCCUUAGGGCGUCGUUUAGACUUUGGGUUUUGUUUAGAUUAAAAGUUCGCCAUAGCUGCAACUUCGCGUACUUCGUUUGUGUUCAGCGACCAGACAAAGGCGUCACAGAACCCCACCUUGAUCAAUAAAGCUUUCAUCUUAUAUUCGCAAUAUCCAGAUUGCAAUCUCAGUUUCUUGCCUGUUCUUCGUUUGCUCGCAGGAAACAGACCCUCGUGGUCAGGUUGAUCGUGCUCCGGCGUGGUCGAUAACCUCUCGGAGUUGGUUUAGCGAUUGCUAAGGCGCGACGUCCUCGCACGUUCGUAGUCGGAUCGUCAAAGUCGACUUCCAUCAAAGCGAUAUUCAUCAUCUCAUCGAAAGACGGGACACCUUUGCCUCUAUCAAGUGGUAUCAGUUUUCAGGUUGCUCGGUGAGAAUUUCCAGUUUCCCCUAGAUUAGAUUUAUUUUCUUACCUAUUGUCCAAGAAAAAGCCACAAAAAAGUUAGAUCUAUUCAUCCUUUUGUCCAACGACCAGACCAAGACCGCUUACGGAUUCCCACCACUAUCAAUACUUCAUAUAUAUUCGCAAUAUUCAGAUUGCAUCAAAUUGACUUAAUUCCCGGUGCAUCGCUACCCAACCGUGCACCAUACCGUACCAAUCCAGAGGAGACGAAGGAGAUUAUGCGUCAAGUACAGGAGCUGCUCGACAAAGGUUAUAUACGCGAAUCUCUUAGUCCUUGUGCUGUUCCUAUUAUACUCGUGCCUAAAAAGGAUGGUACGUCGCGUAUGUGUGUUGAUUGUAGAGGCAUUAAUAAUAUUACUAUUCGUUAUCGUCAUCCUAUUCCUAGGCUCGAUGAUAUGCUUGAUGAAUUGAGUGGCUCUACAAUAUUCUCCAAAGUUGAUUUGCGUAGUGGAUACCAUCAAAUUCGUAUGAAAUUGGGAGAUGAAUGGAAAACUGCAUUUAAAACUAAGUUUGGUUUAUAUGAGUGGUUAGUCAUGCCUUUUGGGUUAACUAAUGCACCUAGUACUUUCAUGAGACUAAUGAACGAAGUUUUACGUGCUUUCAUUGGACGAUUUGUGGUGGUCUAUUUUGAUGAUAUACUGAUUUAUAGCAAAUCUUUGGAAGAACAUUUGGAACAUUUACGUGUUGUUUUUAUUGCUCUACGUGAUGCACGUUUGUUUGGUAACCUUGGGAAGUGCACCUUUUGCACCGACCGAGUAUCUUUUCUUGGCUAUGUUGUUACUCCCCAGGGAAUUGAAGUUGAUAAAGCCAAGAUUGAAGCUAUUGAGAGUUGGCCGCAGCCCAAAACGGUCACACAAGUGCGGAGUUUUCUUGGACUCGCUGGUUUCUAUAGGCGUUUUGUGAGAGAUUUUAGCACCAUUGCUGCACCUCUCAACGAGCUUACAAAGAAGGAUGUGCCUUUUGUUUGGGGUACCGCACAGGAAGAAGCCUUCACGGUAUUGAAAGAUAAGUUGACACAUGCUCCUUUACUCCAACUUCCUGAUUUUGAUAAGACUUUUGAGCUUGAAUGUGAUGCUAGUGGCAUUGGAUUAGGAGGUGUGUUAUUACAAGAUGGCAAACCUGUUGCAUACUUUUCUGAAAAAUUGAGUGGGCCUAGUCUGAAUUAUUCUACUUAUGAUAAAGAACUAUAUGCUCUUGUUCGGACUUUAGAAACAUGGCAACAUUAUUUAUGGCCCAAAGAAUUUGUUAUACAUUCUGAUCAUGAAUCUUUGAAACAUAUUAAAAGUCAAGCUAAACUGAAUCGUAGACAUGCUAAAUGGGUUGAAUUCAUUGAAACUUUCCCUUAUGUCAUUAAACACAAGAAGGGUAAAGAAAAUGUUAUUGCUGAUGCAUUGUCUCGUCGCUAUACUAUGCUUUCACAACUUGACUUCAAAAUAUUUGGUUUGGAGACCAUCAAAGAUCAAUAUGUGCAUGAUGCUGAUUUUAAAGAUGUAUUGCAGAAUUGUAAAGAAGGAAGAACCUGGAACAAGUUUGUCGUUAAUGAUGGAUUUGUGUUCCGUGCUAACAAGCUAUGCAUUCCAGCUAGCUCUCUUCGUAUUUUGUUGUUGCAGGAGGCGCAUGGAGGAGGAUUAAUGGGACACUUUGGCGUGAAGAAGACGGAGGACGUACUUGCUACACAUUUCUUUUGGCCAAAGAUGAGACGGGAUGUUGAGCGUUUUGUUUCAGAUCGUGAUACUAAAUUUCUUAGCCACUUUUGGAGAUGUUUAUGGGCUAAGUUGGGGACUAAACUGCUUUUUAGUACUACUUGUCACCCCCAAACUGAUGGACAAACUGAAGUAGUCAAUAGAACAUUGUCUACUAUGCUUAGGGCUGUUUUGAAGAAUAAUAAGAAAAUGUGGGAAGACUGCUUGCCUCAUAUUGAGUUUGCUUAUAAUCGUUCAUUGCAUUCUACUACUAAGAUGUGCCCUUUUGAAAUUGUGUAUGGUUUCCUACCUCGUGCACCUAUUGAUUUGUUGCCUCUUCCAUCUUCGGAGAAGGUUAAUUUUGAUGCUAAACAACGUGCUGAAUUGAUCUUAAAAAUGCAUGAGUUAACUAAGGAAAACAUUGAGCGUAUGAAUGCUAAAUAUAAACUUGCUGGAGAUAAGGGUAGAAAACAUGUUGUGUUUGCACCUGGAGAUCUUGUUUGGUUACAUUUGCGUAAGGAUAGAUUUCCUGAUUUGCGCAAAUCAAAGCUAAUGCCACGUGCUGAUGGUCCUUUUAAGGUGUUAGAGAAAAUAAAUGAUAAUGCAUAUAAACUUGAGCUGCCUGCAGAUUUUGGGGUUAGUCCCACUUUUAAUAUUGCAGAUUUGAAGCCUUAUUUGGGUGAGGAAGAUGAGCUUCCGUCGAGGACGACUUCAUUUCAAGAAGGGGAGGAUGAUGAGGACAUCAAUACAAUUAUUACACCCAUAGUCCCUGCUGCUAUACAUACUGGACCAAUUACUAGAGCUCGCGCACGCCAAUUAAAUUACCAGGUACUUUCGUUUCUUGCUAAUGAUUCUAAUGUUCAUGAGAAUAUGAUGCUGCCUAAAUUGGAUACAUUUGUUUUGCUUACAAAUGAAGGGCCUAGCUUUGAGAAGGAUGAACAUUGGAGCAAGAACAAGCAUGGAGAUGAUGGCAUGCGCAUGGGGAACAAGAACGGAGUUACAAGUGAUGAUUUCAGGACGUUGAAGCCACCAUAAUGCGUGCAUGAAGCCUUGGACGAAAUAUACAAGAUGCUACUUCAUAACUUUCGUCCAGAGGCUAUUCUAGGUGCUGCGUCACCUUAUUAUUGGGCCAGGCCCAUGUAAUUUCGAAAUACAUAAGUAUAGGCUAUUUUUAGAGUCCGUAUGUGUGGGGAAACAAGAGAUAGGGUUGGUUUCGGACCCCUUCCUCAAGGGCCACGAAAUUCCCCCCUCUUCCUCCAUAUAUACAGCCCUUAGGGCAUCGUUUAGACUUUGGGUUUUGUUUAGAUUAAAAGUUCGCCAUAGCUGCAACUUCGCGUACUUCGUUUGUGUUCAGCGACCAGACAAAGGCGUCACAGAACCCCACCUUGAUCAAUAAAGCUUUCAUCUUAUAUUCGCAAUAUCCAGAUUGCAAUCUCAGUUUCUUGCCUGUUCUUCGUUUGCUCGCAGGAAACAGACCCUCGUGGUCAGGUUGAUCGUGCUCCGGCGUGGUCGAUAACCUCUCGGAGUUGGUUUAGCGAUUGCUAAGGCGCGACGUCCUCGCACGUUCGUAGUCGGAUCGUCAAAGUCGACUUCCAUCAAAGCCCCGGGCAGUUUUUAGGCCAAAAUUUCGGCAACCAAAAAUAUUUUUUCCCUAUCCUAUUUUUAGGCCCCGGGUAGUGUUUUGAGACACUCGCCAUCAUAGUGAUUUUUUGUCGCACUUUUUCGUCGUCGCUGCCCUGAUUUCCGAAAAAAAAAUAGUCAAAAAAUUUUGUGCCCAUCCUGUCAGUUUGACCUGGGAAGAGUUUUGAGACACUCGCCAUUAUAGUGAUUUUUCGCCAAAAAAAAAAGAGCGCAAAAAAAAAGAGCGCAAAAAAAAAGAGCGAAAAAAAAUUCCAGAGUGUGCUUUUCCCUUGUUUACGUGCAGCGCCGUGAUUUUGUUAGUGUUCUAGGCUCGCGUCUCUAGCACGGUCUAGCCUAGGACCAGCACAGUACCGUCGUUGAGCGUUUAUUCAACUUUGCAUCUCUGAAUUGAUUAUUGCUUACCAUUUUGCUACCAUAUUAUAAGCCUUCCCAGCUCCACAUAAGUCUACAUCGUGCGUUUGACUCUCCCUGGUAAUCGCUAUAUCCAAGCUUUGAGAGUUUUUGACUACAACGGUUGCCGAUCACCACCUGCUGCUGGGUAAGAACUGGUAAGAAUUUGAGAUUCGCUUGAAGGUUUUGUGACACACCACCAUCCCACCACUUCUAGUAGUCUGCAGGAUCAUAUUCUUUUGUGUUUCUAUUGCUGCUAACCAUGGCAGGUUCACAAGCCGAUGAGACUGAUUGGGCGAACAUGACGAACAAGGAGUUGCAUGAUAAAUUUCAACAAAUGAUGAGUGGCCAGGUGGGAGAUGUGCUAAACAGAUUUGAAGAGGCUAUGGAGAAGAUAGAUGCCGUGGAGAAGUCGUUUGAGACAAAGCUGGAUAACAAGUUUACUGAAUUACUAAAGCGUCUUCCCCAACCACCACCGGCUGCACAUGUCGCACCUCUACAACAACAACAACCACAUCUCCAACGCCGCCUUCCAAAUCAAGUGGGACGGGCACAGCGCGUUCCAAUUGAGAUUGGUCAAAAUUCGGGUGCUGCUGUCCCUACUGUUGAUGCUUCUUUGGCUCCUGCUCCUGCGGCGGCUGAGGAGGAUGACGAUUAUGCAGGCGAUUAUGAGGAUGAGGUUGAUCAAAAUCAGAACUACGUGCAGCCACCACCACCACCACCAGCAGGUCGACCUCAGGUAUAUAUUCGCAACGGUAGGCCGGCACCACCACCUCAGGUACGCGAUCAUGACCAUCUCCCUAAACUGAAAUUGAAUAUUCCACCAUUUGAGGGUAGAUAUGUUCCUGAUAUAUAUCUUACUUGGGAGUUAGAAACUGAACAACGAUUUACAUGUUUACAAUAUCCUGAGGAGAGACGUGUUCCUGCUGCUGUUUGUGCUUUCACUAGCUUUGCAUGUGUUUGGUGGUCUGAACAUUGUAGAUUAUAUCCUGUUCCAGCUACUUGGGCUGCUUUGAAAACUGCUAUGCGUACUCGUUGGGUUCCACCAUAUUAUCAACGUGAAUUACUUCAAAAAUUGCAGCGUUUAAGACAAGGAAAAAAUUCUGUAGAAGAAUAUUAUCAGGAAUUACAAACUGGCAUGAUUAGAUGUGGUAUUGUUGAGGAGAAUGAAGCUAUGCUUGCACGUUUUAUGGGUGGAUUAAAUAAAGAGAUUCAGACCAUUCUAGAGUAUAAGGAUUAUAAUAAUAUCACUCGUUUAUUCCAUCUUGCUUGUAAAGCUGAACGUGAAGUGCAGGAUCGACAGCCAUUGGCGCGAACUAACUUUUCUGCAGGUCGACCUUCAUCAUGGACACCGCGUGCAUCUUCUACUUCCACGUCACCAUCACCUCCAUCAGGUGCCACCUCCAGCCGUGAUACAAGAAAGCAGGCACAACCACCACUCUCUGCCAAGAGCACACCUGCCGGGCCUGUGCAGAGCUCUUCUUCUUCCAUGGCAUCGACAGGGCACACAAGUGAUAUUAUUUGUCGUCGUUGUAAGGGAAGAGGACAUUUUGCGAGAGAAUGCAAAUCUCAGCGUGUCAUGAUUGCUACUGAGGAUGGUGGGUAUGAGUCCGCUAGUGACUAUGAUGAGGAGACUUUGGCUCUUAUUACACGUGAAGAACAUGGUGGAGAUGAUUCUGAAAAUGAGACGCAAUACAUGGCUCCUGAAGACGCUGACAGGUAUGAAUGUUUAGUUGCUCAACGUGUUUUGAGUGUGCAGGUCACACAAGCAGAGCAAAAUCAGAGGCAUAAUUUGUUCCAUACAAAGGGAGUUGUGAAGGAACGUUCUGUUCGCGUCAUCAUAGAUGGAGGGAGCUGUAACAACUUGGCUAGCAUGGAGAUGGUGGAGAAGCUUUCUCUCACCACAAGACCACAUCCACAUCCUUACUACAUCCAAUGGUUCAACAACAGCGGCAAGGUUAAGGUAACACGUACUGUUCGUGUGCAUUUUAGUAUCUCUACAUAUGCUGAUUAUGUUGAUUGUGAUGUGGUACCCAUGCAAGCAUGUUCCUUAUUACUAGGUAGACCAUGGCAAUUUGAUAAAAAUUCUGUACACCAUGGUAGAAACAAUCAGUAUACUCUUGUUCAUAAGGAUAAAAAUAUUACUUUGCUUCCUAUGACUCCUGAUUCCAUUUUGAAAGAUGACAUUAAUAGAGCUAAUAAAGCAAAACAGGAGAAAAAUAAGAGUGAAAAUCAGAUUGUGGCAAAGGAAUUUGAGCAACAAAUGAAACCUAAUAAUAAACCAUCUAGUGUUGUUUCUGAAAUUAAAUUGAAAAAUGCAUGUUUACUUGCCACAAAAUCUGAUAUUGAUGAACUAGAUUUCAGCAAAUCUGUUUGCUAUGCUUUUGUGUGCAAAGAGGCAUUAUUUUCAUACGAGGACGUGCCUUCCUCUUUGCCCCCUGCUGUCACUCACAUUUUGCAGGAGUUCGCUGACGUCUUCCCACAAGACGUGCCACCGGGAUUACCACCUAUUCGAGGGAUUGAGCAUCAAAUUGACUUAAUUCCCGGUGCAUCGCUACCCAACCGUGCACCAUACCGUACCAAUCCAGAGGAGACGAAGGAGAUUAUGCGUCAAGUACAGGAGCUGCUCGACAAAGGUUAUAUACGCGAAUCUCUUAGUCCUUGUGCUGUUCCUAUUAUACUCGUGCCUAAAAAGGAUGGUACGUCGCGUAUGUGUGUUGAUUGUAGAGGCAUUAAUAAUAUUACUAUUCGUUAUCGUCAUCCUAUUCCUAGGCUCGAUGAUAUGCUUGAUGAAUUGAGUGGCUCUACAAUAUUCUCCAAAGUUGAUUUGCGUAGUGGAUACCAUCAAAUUCGUAUGAAAUUGGGAGAUGAAUGGAAAACUGCAUUUAAAACUAAGUUUGGUUUAUAUGAGUGGUUAGUCAUGCCUUUUGGGUUAACUAAUGCACCUAGUACUUUCAUGAGACUAAUGAACGAAGUUUUACGUGCUUUCAUUGGACGAUUUGUGGUGGUCUAUUUUGAUGAUAUACUGAUUUAUAGCAAAUCUUUGGAAGAACAUUUGGAACAUUUACGUGUUGUUUUUAUUGCUCUACGUGAUGCACGUUUGUUUGGUAACCUUGGGAAGUGCACCUUUUGCACCGACCGAGUAUCUUUUCUUGGCUAUGUUGUUACUCCCCAGGGAAUUGAAGUUGAUAAAGCCAAGAUUGAAGCUAUUGAGAGUUGGCCGCAGCCCAAAACGGUCACACAAGUGCGGAGUUUUCUUGGACUCGCUGGUUUCUAUAGGCGUUUUGUGAGAGAUUUUAGCACCAUUGCUGCACCUCUCAACGAGCUUACAAAGAAGGAUGUGCCUUUUGUUUGGGGUACCGCACAGGAAGAAGCCUUCACGGUAUUGAAAGAUAAGUUGACACAUGCUCCUUUACUCCAACUUCCUGAUUUUGAUAAGACUUUUGAGCUUGAAUGUGAUGCUAGUGGCAUUGGAUUAGGAGGUGUGUUAUUACAAGAUGGCAAACCUGUUGCAUACUUUUCUGAAAAAUUGAGUGGGCCUAGUCUGAAUUAUUCUACUUAUGAUAAAGAACUAUAUGCUCUUGUUCGGACUUUAGAAACAUGGCAACAUUAUUUAUGGCCCAAAGAAUUUGUUAUACAUUCUGAUCAUGAAUCUUUGAAACAUAUUAAAAGUCAAGCUAAACUGAAUCGUAGACAUGCUAAAUGGGUUGAAUUCAUUGAAACUUUCCCUUAUGUCAUUAAACACAAGAAGGGUAAAGAAAAUGUUAUUGCUGAUGCAUUGUCUCGUCGCUAUACUAUGCUUUCACAACUUGACUUCAAAAUAUUUGGUUUGGAGACCAUCAAAGAUCAAUAUGUGCAUGAUGCUGAUUUUAAAGAUGUAUUGCAGAAUUGUAAAGAAGGAAGAACCUGGAACAAGUUUGUCGUUAAUGAUGUAUUUGUGUUCCGUGCUAACAAGCUAUGCAUUCCAGCUAGCUCUCUUCGUCUUUUGUUGUUGCAGGAGGCGCAUGGAGGAGGAUUAAUGGGACACUUUGGCGUGAAGAAGACGGAGGACGUACUUGCUACACAUUUCUUUUGGCCAAAGAUGAGACGGGAUGUUGAGCGUUUUGUUGCUCGCUGCACUACAUGUCAAAAAGCUAAGUCACGACUCAAUCCUCAUGGUUUAUAUAUGCCUUUGCCUGUACCUAGUGUUCCUUGGGAGGAUAUAUCUAUGGACUUUGUUUUAGGUUUACCUCGAACAAAGAAGGGGAGGGAUAGCAUAUUUGUUGUCGUGGAUAGAUUCUCGAAAAUGGCGCACUUUAUACCAUGUCAUAAAAGCGAUGAUGCUGUUAAUGUUGCUAAUUUGUUCUUUCGUGAAAUUAUUCGCUUGCAUGGUGUGCCAAAUACUAUUGUUUCAGAUCGUGAUACUAAAUUUCUUAGCCACUUUUGGAGAUGUUUAUGGGCUAAGUUGGGGACUAAACUGCUUUUUAGUACUACUUGUCACCCCCAAACUGAUGGACAAACUGAAGUAGUCAAUAGAACAUUGUCUACUAUGCUUAGGGCUGUUUUGAAGAAUAAUAAGAAAAUGUGGGAAGACUGCUUGCCUCAUAUUGAGUUUGCUUAUAAUCGUUCAUUGCAUUCUACUACUAAGAUGUGCCCUUUUGAAAUUGUGUAUGGUUUCCUACCUCGUGCACCUAUUGAUUUGUUGCCUCUUCCAUCUUCGGAGAAGGUUAAUUUUGAUGCUAAACAACGUGCUGAAUUGAUCUUAAAAAUGCAUGAGUUAACUAAGGAAAACAUUGAGCGUAUGAAUGCUAAAUAUAAACUUGCUGGAGAUAAGGGUAGAAAACAUGUUGUGUUUGCACCUGGAGAUCUUGUUUGGUUACAUUUGCGUAAGGAUAGAUUUCCUGAUUUGCGCAAAUCAAAGCUAAUGCCACGUGCUGAUGGUCCCUUUAAGGUGUUAGAGAAAAUAAAUGAUAAUGCAUAUAAACUUGAGCUGCCUGCAGAUUUUGGAGUUAGUCCCACUUUUAACAUUGCAGAUUUGAAGCCUUAUUUGGGUGAGGAAGAUGAACUUCCGUCGAGGACGACUUCAUUUCAAGAAGGGGAGGAUGAUGAGGACAUCAAUACAAUUGUUACACCCACAGCCCCUGCUGCUAUACAUACUGGACCAAUUACUAGAGCUCGUGCACGCCAACUAAAUUACCAGGUACUUUCGUUUCUUGGUAAUGAUUCUAAUAUUCAUGAGAAUAUGAUGCUGCCUAAAUUGGAUACAUUUGUUUUGCUUACAAAUGAAGGGCCUAGCUUGGAGAAGGAUGAACAUUGGAGCAAGAACAAGCAUGGAGAUGAUGGCAUGCGCAAGGGGAACAAGAACGGAGUUACAAGUGAUGAUUUCAGGACUUUGAAGCCACCAUAAUGGGUGCAUGAAGCCUUGGACGAAAUAUACAAGAUGCCACUUCAUAAAUUUCGUCCCUGAUAGAGGCGAGGGUCCCGAUCUUUCGAUGAGAUGAUGGAUAUCGCUUUGGUGGAAGUCGACUUUGACGAUCCGACUACGAACGUGCGAGGACGUCGCGCCUUAGCAAUCGCUAAACCAACUCCGAGAGGUUAUUGACCACGCCGGAGCACGAUCAACCUGACCACGAGGAUCUGUUUCCUGCGAGCAAACGAAGAACAAGCAAGAAACUAAGAUUGCAAUCUGGAUAUUGCGAAUAUAAGAUGAAAGCUUUAUUGAUCAAGGUGGGGUUCUGUGACGCCUUUGUCUGGUCGUUGAACACAAACGAAGUACGCGAAGUUGCAGCUAUGGCGAACUUUUAAUCUAAACAAAACCCAAAGUCUAAACGAUGCCCUAAGGGCUGUAUAUAUGGAGGAAGAGGGGGUGGAUUUCGUGGCCCUUGGUGGAGGGGUCCGAAAUCAACCCUAUCUCUUGUUUCCCCACACAUACGGACUCUAAAAAUAGCCUAUACUUAUGUAUUUCGAAAUUACAUGGGCCUGGCCCAAUAAUAAGGUGACGCAGCACCUAAAAUAGCCUCGGGACGAAAUUUAUGAAGUGGCAUCUUGUAUAUUUCGUCCAAGGCUUCAUGCACACAUUAUGGUGGCUUCAAAGUCCUGAAAUCAUCACUUGUAACUCCGUUCUUGUUCCCCUUGCACAUGCCAUCAUCUCCAUGCUUGUUCUUGCUCCAAUGUUCAUCCUUCUCCAAGCUAGGCCCUUCAUUUGUAAGCAAAACAAAUGUAUCCAAUUUAGGCAGCAUCAUAUUCUCAUGAACAUUAGAAUCAUUACCAAGAAACGAAAGUACCUGGUAAUUUAGUUGGCGUGCACGAGCUCUAGUAAUUGGUCCAGUAUGUAUAGCAGCAGGGGCUGUGGGUGUAACAAUUGUAUUGAUGUCCUCAUCAUCCUCCCCUUCUUGAAAUGAAGUCGUCCUCGACGGAAGUUCAUCUUUCUCACCCAAAUAAGGCUUCAAAUCUGCAAUGUUAAAAGUGGGACUAACCCCAAAAUCUGCAGGCAGCUCAAGUUUAUAUGCAUUAUCAUUUAUUUUCUCUAACACCUUAAAGGGACCAUCAGCACGUGGCAUUAGCUUUGAUUUGCGCAAAUCAGGAAAUCUAUCCUUACGCAAAUGUAACCAAACAAGAUCUCCAGGUGCAAACACAACAUGUUUUCUACCCUUAUCUCCAGCAAGUUUAUAUUUAGCAUUCAUACGCUCAAUGUUUUCCUUAGUUAACUCAUGCAUUUUUAAGAUCAAUUCAGCACGUUGUUUAGCAUCAAAAUUAACCUUCUCCGAAGAUGGAAGAGGCAACAAAUCAAUAGGUGCACGAGGUAGGAAACCAUACACAAUUUCAAAAGGGCACAUCUUAGUAGUAGAAUGCAAUGAACGAUUAUAAGCAAACUCAAUAUGAGGCAAGCAGUCUUCCCACAUUUUCUUAUUAUUCUUCAAAACAGCCCUAAGCAUAGUAGACAAUGUUCUAUUGACUACUUCAGUUUGUCCAUCAGUUUGGGGGUGACAAGUAGUACUAAAAAGCAGUUUAGUCCCCAACUUAGCCCAUAAACAUCUCCAAAAGUGGCUAAGAAAUUUAGUAUCACGAUCUGAAACAAUAGUAUUUGGCACACCAUGCAAGCGAAUAAUUUCACGAAAGAACAAAUUAGCAACAUUAACAGCAUCAUCGCUUUUAUGACAUGGUAUAAAGUGCGCCAUUUUCGAGAAUCUAUCCACGACAACAAAUAUGCUAUCCCUCCCCUUCUUUGUUCGAGGUAAACCUAAAACAAAGUCCAUAGAUAUAUCCUCCCAAGGAACACUAGGUACAGGCAAAGGCAUAUAUAAACCAUGAGGAUUGAGUCGUGACUUAGCUUUUUGACAUGUAGUGCAGCGAGCAACAAAACGCUCAACAUCCCGUCUCAUCUUUGGCCAAAAGAAAUGUGUAGCAAGUACGUCCUCCGUCUUCUUCACGCCAAAGUGUCCCAUUAAUCCUCCUCCAUGCGCCUCCUGCAACAACAAAAUACGAAGAGAGCUAGCUGGAAUGCAUAGCUUGUUAGCACGGAACACAAAUCCAUCAUUAACGACAAACUUGUUCCAGGUUCUUCCUUCUUUACAAUUCUGCAAUACAUCUUUAGAAUCAGCAUCAUGCACAUAUUGAUCUUUGAUGGUCUCCAAACCAAAUAUUUUGAAGUCAAGUUGUGAAAGCAUAGUAUAGCGACGAGACAAUGCAUCAGCAAUAACAUUUUCUUUACCCUUCUUGUGUUUAAUGACAUAAGGGAAAGUUUCAAUGAAUUCAACCCAUUUAGCAUGUCUACGAUUCAGUUUAGCUUGACUUUUAAUAUGUUUCAAAGAUUCAUGAUCAGAAUGUAUAACAAAUUCUUUGGGCCAUAAAUAAUGUUGCCAUGUUUCUAAAGUCCGAACAAGAGCAUAUAGUUCUUUAUCAUAAGUAGAAUAAUUCAGACUAGGCCCACUCAAUUUUUCAGAAAAGUAUGCAACAGGUUUGCCAUCUUGUAAUAACACACCUCCUAAUCCAAUGCCACUAGCAUCACAUUCAAGCUCAAAAGUCUUAUUAAAAUCAGGAAGUUGGAGUAAAGGAGCAUGUGUCAAUUUAUCUUUCAAUACCGUGAAGGCUUCUUCCUGUGCGGUACCCCAAACAAAAGGCACAUCCUUCUUUGUAAGCUCGUUGAGAGGUGCAGCAAUGGUGCUAAAAUCUCUCACAAAACGCCUAUAGAAACCAGCGAGUGAUGAGGACAUCAAUACAAUUAUUACACCCACAGGCCCUGCUGCUAUACAUACUGGACCAAUUACUAGAGCUCGCGCACGCCAAUUAAAUUACCAGGUACUUUCGUUUCUUGCUAAUGAUUCUAAUGUUCAUGAGAAUAUGAUGCUGCCUAAAUUGGAUACAUUUGUUUUGCUUACAAAUGAAGGGCCUAGCUUUGAGAAGGAUGAACAUUGGAGCAAGAACAAGCAUGGAGAUGAUGGCAUGCGCAUGGGGAACAAGAACGGAGUUACAAGUGAUGAUUUCAGGACGUUGAAGCCACCAUAAUGCGUGCAUGAAGCCUUGGACGAAAUAUACAAGAUGCUACUUCAUAACUUUCGUCCAGAGGCUAUUCUAGGUGCUGCGUCACCUUAUUAUUGGGCCAGGCCCAUGUAAUUUCGAAAUACAUAAGUAUAGGCUGUUUUCAGAGUCCGUAUGUGUGGGGAAACAAGAGAUAGGGUUGGUUUCGGACCCCUUCCUCAAGGGCCACGAAAUUCCCCCCCCUCUUCCUCCAUAUAUACAGCCCUUAGGGCGUCGUUUAGACUUUGGGUUUUGUUUAGAUUAAAAGUUCGCCAUAGCUGCAACUUCGCGUACUUCGUUUGUGUUCAGCGACCAGACAAAGGCGUCACAGAACCCCACCUUGAUCAAUAAAGCUUUCAUCUUAUAUUCGCAAUAUCCAGAUUGCAAUCUCAGUUUCUUGCCUGUUCUUCGUUUGCUCGCAGGAAACAGACCCUCGUGGUCAGGUUGAUCGUGCUCCGGCGUGGUCGAUAACCUCUCGGAGUUGGUUUAGCGAUUGCUAAGGCGCGACGUCCUCGCACGUUCGUAGUCGGAUCGUCAAAGUCGACUUCCAUCAAAGCGAUAUUCAUCAUCUCACCGAAAGACGGGACACCUUUGCCUCUAUCAUGAAGCAGGGCACUUUGCCAGAGGUUGUCCCAAUGAGAUGGAGACUUGUACUAAUUAGUUGAGUAUAGAAAGAAAUAUAGUAGUAGCGGGAACAUUUCUUUGUAUAUUGAGGUGUUGAGUUGAGGCAUGUAAUGGAAAUAUAGGAGAUUGUAAUAAUUUGAGGAUCAAUAAAGUUAGCAUCGUUAGUAUUGAUUUGGAUUUUAUGAGUUGUUACAAUAUAGGCAAUGAGUAAAAUCAUGGUGUGUGGAAUAAGAUUUUUUUUAGAAGGAAUUUGAAGGUGAAUCCCAUUGGGUUGGAAAGUGCAUGAAAUCUAUUUUCCAACAAAAAAAGAAUCACCCAAUUCGGAGUUUGGAUGAAAAAGUUAUUGACGUUUUGAGUCAGGUAUGUCUGUGCAGUCCGAAUCUGAGUCCAGAACGUGAGACACUUGGGCUCUAUCCUCUCUUGGGCCAAAAGUGACGUGAGAGAACUUUUUGAACAUCAAGUAAACAUCUCUUUCUCCCUUAUCUUCAUAUGUGGAUUGUACAAAUGUCCCACACACCUCAGAAAUAUACAUGUAUACUAUAUUUUUGGUCGUAUCCAAGGUAGCCAUUUCCUCAUCAUGUAUUCUCUGGACCGAUGACCCAGCCGGAGGCAGAGCUAUGGAUACAGAACAUUGAGGAUCACUUCAGGAAAAAUUUGAUUGCAAGGAAGUAUGAGGUUCAAUACGCUCUUCAGUACUUUACAAAAAAGUGCCGCUACUUGGUUGAGUAUGUAUCAAGCUAUCAGUGGAUGGCAAGGAGCAACCACUUGGGAAGAAUUUAAGCUGAAGCCUUGUGGAAAUGAUAAGAAUAAACCUUGUGCAUGCAAGCUUUGUGGAGAAAUAAGACACAACCAUAAAGAACACAAGGAUGAAUGCCCUCAUUGUGAAGAAAGUCACCCAGCUGAAGAAUGCCCAACUAGGCAUAUUACUUGUUUCUUGUGUGAAGGGACUACGCACUACCCUGCUGAGUGUCACAUUUACCCCAUGAUACAAUGAACUAUCCAACAGAAGAAAGAAGUGAUAAAAGAAGCCCUCGGGAAAACUUUAGAAAAACCCACGAUGAAGGAAGAUUUUGAGGACACACCCGAAGAAGACCCAAUUAAACCCUGUACCAAGUCAUGCUAUUCAUGUGGAGAAGAAGGACACAUCUCCCAGAAUUGUCCGAAGGAGGAUCUAGUAGAAUUCCGGACAGAGGAAGUAGAAUAUGACCCACAAGAGAUAGAAGCCCUAAUUGGUACAGAAAAGUCCAGGAAGACAAACAAAAUGUAUCCCCAGAACAACCCAAUUUCUACAAAGAUGGACCUGAGUCAUAUCACAUGUUUCAGGUGCAAAGAUCUAGGGCACUACUUCAGUGGUUGCCCAAAAAGGAAGCCGAGGACCCAAGGAGGCUAUGUAAUCACAAGGAAACCUCCAUACUUGUCAGAAGUAAUAUGUUUCCGCUGUAAUGAAGCAGGGCACUUUGCCAGAGGUUGUCCCAAUGAGAAGGAGACUUGUACUAAUUAGUUGAGUAUAGAAAGAAAUAUAGUAGUAGCGGGAACAUUUCUUUGUAUAUUGAGGUGUUGAGUUGAGGCAUGUAAUGGAAAUAUAGGAGAUUGUAAUAAUUUGAGCAUCAAUAAAGUUAGCAUCGUUAGUAUUGAUUUGGAUUUUAUGAGUUGAUGCAAUAUAGGCAAUGAGUAAAAUCAUGGUGUGUGGAAUAAGAUUUUUUUUAAGAAGGAAUUUGAAGGUGAAUCCCAUUGGGUUGGAAAGUGCACGAAAUCUAUUUUCCAACAAAAAAAGAAUCACCCAAUUCGUAGUUUGGAUGAAAAAGUUAUUGACGUUUUAAGUCAGGUAUGUCUGUGCAGUCCGAAUCUGAGUCCAGAACGUGAGAGACUUGGGCUCUAUCCUCUCUUGGGCCAAAAGUGACGUGAGAGAACUUUUUGAACAUCAAGUAAACAUAUCUUUCUCCCUUAUCUUCAUAUGUGGAUUGUACAAAUGUCCCACACACCUCAGAAAUAUACAUGUAUACUAUAUUUUUGGUCGUAUCCAAGGUAGCCAUUUCCUCAUCAUGUAUUCUCUGGACCGAUGACCCAGCCGGAGGCAGAGCUAUGGAUACAGAACAUUGAGGAUCACUUCAGGAAAAAUUUGAUUGCAAGGAAGUAUGAGGUUCAAUACGCUCUUCAGUACUUUACAAAAAUGUGCCGCUACUUGGUUGAGUAUGUAUCAAGCUAUCAAUGGAUGGCAAGGAGCAACCACUUGGGAAGAAUUUAAGCUGAAGCCUUGUGGAAAUGAUAAGAAUAAACCUUGUGCAUGCAAGCGUUGUGGAGAAAUAAGACACAACCAUAAAGAACACAAGGAUGAAUGCCCUCAUUGUGAAGAAAGUCACCCAGCUGAAGAAUGCCCAACUAGGCAUAUUACUUGUUUCUUGUGUGAAGGGACUACGCACUACCCGGCUGAGUGUCACAUUUACCCCAUGGUACAAUGAACUAUCCAACAGAAGAAAGAAGUGAUAAAAGAAGCCCUCGGGAAAACUUUAGAAAAACCCACGAUGAAGGAAGAUUUUGAGGACACACCCGAAGAAGACCCAAUUAAACCCUGCACCAAGUCAUGCUAUUCAUGUGGAGAAGAAGGACACAUCUCCCAGAAUUGUCCGAAGGAGGAUCUAGUAGAAUUCCGGACAGAGGAAGUAGAGUAUGACCCACAAGAGAUAGAAGCCCUAAUUGGUACAGAAAAGUCCAGGAAGACAAACAAAAUGUAUCCCCAGAACAACCCAAUUUCUACAAAGAUGGACCUGAAUCAUAUCACAUGUUUCAGGUGCAAAGAUCUAGGGCACUACUUCAGUGGUUGCCCAAAAAGGAAGCCGAGGACCCAAGGAGGCUAUGUAAUCACAAGGAAACCUCCAUACUUGUCAGAAGUAAUAUGUUUCCGCUGUAAUGAAGCAGGGCACUUUGCCAGAGGUUGUCCCAAUGAGAAGGAGACUUGUACUAAUUAGUUGAGUAUAGAAAGAAAUAUAGUAGUAGCGGGAACAUUUCUUUGUAUAUUGAGGUGUUGAGUUGAGGCAUGUAAUGGAAAUAUAGGAGAUUGUAAUAAUUUGAGGAUCAAUAAAGUUAGCAUCGUUAGUAUUGAUUUGGAUUUCAUGAGUUGAUGCAAUAUAGGCAAUGAGUAAAAUCAUGGUGUGUGGAAUAAGAUUUUUUUUAAGAACGAAUUUGAAGGUGAAUCCCAUUGGGUUGGAAAGUGCACGAAAUCUAUUUUCCAACAAAAAAAGAAUCACCCAAUUCGUAGUUUGGAUGAAAAAGUUUUUUGACGUUUUGAGUCAGGUAUGUCUGUGCAGUCCGAAUCUGAGUCCAGAACGUGAGAGACUUGGGCUCUAUCCUCUCUUGGGCCAAAAGUGACGUGAGAGAACUUUUUGAACAUCAAGUAAACAUAUCUUUCUCCCUUAUCUUCAUAUGUGGAUUGUACAAAUGUCCCACACACCUCAGAAAUAUACAUGUAUACUAUAUUUUUGGUCGUAUCCAAGGUAGCCAUUUCAUCAUCAUGUAUUCUCUGGACCGAUGACCCAGCCGGAGGCAGAGCUAUGGAUACAAAACAUUGAGGAUCACUUCAGGAAAAAUUUGAUUGCAAGGAAGUAUGAGGUUCAAUACGCUCUUCAGUACUUUACAAAAAUGUGCCGCUACUUGGUUGAGUAUGUAUCAAGCUAUCAAUGGAUGGCAAGGAGCAACCACUUGGGAAGAAUUUAAGCUGAAGCCUUGUGGAAAUGAUAUGAAGAAACCUUGUGCAUGCAAGCCUUGUGGAGAAAUAAGACACAACCAUAAAGAACACAAGGAUGAAUGCCCUCAUUGUGAAGAAAGUCACCCAGCUGAGGAAUGCCCAACUAGGCAUAUUACUUGUUUCUUGUGUGAAGGGACUACGCACUACCCUGCUGAGUGUCACAUUUACCCCAUGGUACAAUGAACUAUCCAACAGAAGAAAGAAGUGAUAAAAGAAGCCCUCGGGAAAACUUUAGAAAAACCCACGAUGAAGGAAGAUUUUGAGGACACACCCGAAGAAGACCUAAUUAAACCCUGCACCAAGUCAUGCUAUUCAUGUGGAGAAGAAGGACACAUCUCCCAGAAUUGUCCGAAGGAGGAUCUAAGAGAAUUCCGGACAGAUGAAGUAGAGUAUGACCCACAAGAGAUAGAAGCCCUAAUUGGUACAGAAAAGUCCAGGAAGAGAAACAAAAUGUAUCCCAAGAACAACCCAAUUUCUACAAAGAUGGACCUGAGUCAUAUCACAUGUUUCAGGUGCAAAGAUCUAGGGCACUACUUCAGUGGUUGCCCAAAAAGGAAGCCGAGGACCCAAGGAGGCUAUGUAAUCACAAGGAAACCUCCAUACUUGUCAGAAGUAAUAUGUUUCCGCUGUAAUGAAGCAGAGCACUUUGCCAGAGGUUGUCCCAAUGAGAAGGGGACUUGUACUAAUUAGUUGAGUAUAGAAAGAAAUAUAGUAGUAGUGGGAACAUUUCUUUGUAUAUUGAGGUGUUGAGUUGAGGCAUGUAAUGGAAAUAUAGGAGAUUGUAAUAUUUUGAGGAUCAAUAAAGUUAGCAUCGUUAGUAUUGAUUUGGAUUUUAUGAGUUGUUACAAUAUAGGCAAUGAGUAAAAUCAUGGUGUGUGGAAGAAGAUUUUUUUUAAGAACGAAUUUGAAGGUGAAUCCCAUUGGGUUGGAAAGUGCACGAAAUCUAUUUUCCAACAAAAAAAGAAUCACCCAAUUCGGAGUUUGGAUGAAAAAGUUAUUGACGUUUUGAGUCAGGUAUGUCUGUGCAGUCCGAAUCUGAGUCCAGAACGUGAGAGACUUGGGCUCUAUCCUCUCUUGGGCCAAAAGUGACGUGAGAGAACUUUUUGAACAUCAAGUAAACAUAUCUUUCUCCCUUAUCUUCAUAUGUGGAUUGUACAAAUGUCCCACACACCUCAGAAAUAUACAUGUAUACUAUAUUUUUGGUCGUAUCCAAGGUAGGCAUUUCCUCAUCAUGUAUUCUCUGGACCGAUGACCCAGCCGGAGGCAGAGCUAUGGAUACAGAACAUUGAGGAUCACUUCAGGAAAAAUUUGAUUGCAAGGAAGUAUGAGGUUCAAUACGCUCUUCAGUACUUUACAAAAAUGUGCCGCUACUUGGUUGAGUAUGUAUCAAGCUAUCAAUGGAUGGCAAGGAGCAACCACUUGGGAAGAAUUUAAGCUGAAGCCUUGUGGAAAUGAUAUGAAGAAACCUUGUGCAUGCAAGCUUUGUGGAGAAAUAAGACACAACCAUAAAGAACACAAGGAUGAAUGCCCUCAUUGUGAAGAAAGUCACCUAGCUGAAGAAUGCCCAACUAGGCAUAUUACUUGUUUCUUGUGUGAAGGGACUACGCACUACCCUGCUGAGUGUCACAUUUACCCCAUGGUACAAUGAACUAUCCAACAGAAGAAAGAAGUGAUAAAAGAAGCCCUCGGGAAAACUUCAGAAAAACCCAUGAUGAAGGAAGAUUUUGAGGACACACCCGAAGAAGACCCAAUUAAACCCUGCACCAAGUCAUGCUAUUCAUGUGGAGAAGAAGUACACAUCUCCCAGAAUUGUCCGAAGGAGGAUCUAGUAGAAUUCCGGACAGAUGAAUUAGAGUAUGACCCACAAGAGAUAGAAGCCCUAAUUGGUACAGAAAAGUCCAGGAAGACAAACAAAAUGUAUCCCCAGAACAACCCAAUUUCUACAAAGAUGGACCUGAGUCAUAUCACAUGUUUCAGGUGCAAAGAUCUAGGGCACUACUUCAGUGGUUGCCCAAAAAGGAAGCCGAGGACCCAAGGAGGCUAUGUAAUCACAAGGAAACCUCCAUACUUGUCAGAAGUAAUAUGUUUCCGCUGUAAUGAAGCAGGGCACUUUGCCAUAGGUUGUCCCAAUGAGAAGGAGACUUGUACUAAUUAGUUGAGUAUAGAAAGAAAUAUAGUAGUAGUGGGAACAUUUCUUUGUAUAUUGAGGUGUUGAGUUGAGGCAUGUAAUGGAAAUAUAGGAGAUUGUAAUAAUUUGAGGAUCAAUAAAGUUUGCAUCAUUAGUAUUGAUUUGGAUUUUAUGAGUUGUUACAAUAUAGGCAAUGAGUAAAAUCAUGGUGUGUGGAAUAAGAUUUUUUUUAAGAAACAAGUGUUUUCAGGGAGAUAGUACCCAACACCAUUACUCGAAUAAAAGAGCUAGUAAUUAGCUACUUUAGACGUUGGAAUGGACCACUCAAUGAUGAGUUUGAGUAAUUACAUCUUAGUUUUGUACCAACAGAAGGAAGGGAGACAGUACAAUUGGAUGGAUUUAAGAAUGCUAGGAAGCUGGAUGUUAGAAUAAUGAUCACUUACAACCCGAUGAUGAGUUCAAAGUUUACAAAUGAUGAGAUGGGCCAUAACCCACAUGCUCCAGGACCCGACAAGAAGUAAGCACACUCUUGCUGAAGGAAAAACCCUGGAAGAAGUUAUGACUUUAUCAACAGAUGAUCUUAUAGAAGUUACGCAAAACCUAAGAGAUGAAAGAAACGAUAGAUGUUUGUUUGGCUUGCAGAAUCAAUGGCGUUAUCCGAACUUCUGACUUGGUUCAUCGACAAGAGAAAUUCUGCAAUGCUGGUGAGGAUGGCCGAGUGUUAGAAUCCAAGAUUCACUAAACCAUAUACAAUAUAAUGAUUUGGGUGCGCAAUGGAUUGAUCACCAUGCCGACUUACUCUUAUUAUUCGCCUCUGCUAUAUGGGAUGGUAAAUCUGAGUGACUUACCCAUAGUAGAGAGACGACGAUACCAAAACCUUGAUUGAACCUUAGAAUGGUAUGACUAUUUUCCCUUGUACAAGGCAGCUGUUGCCAAUCGUAGGUCAUACGGUGAGAAUGAAGCCCAGACCCAUUUCCUACAGGAGAAAUCAUAAAUUGAUGACCACCAUGAGAUAUCGAUAGUUGUUUAGUAUUGGCGCCAGACUUGUCAGCUAAGAAGACCCAGCCUCGGAAGGACCUUACCAAGAUGAAAGGACACAAGAAUUUAGGAAAAGGUUAUGCCACUAUCGGAAGAGCCUAGAGUAGGAAUUCUCCUGAGAAUCUCAGAAGACUGACCCUGUCAACACUAAGGAUGGAGUAUAUGAGUUUUGAUGGAACCAUAACCAUGUUUCUAAGGGUGGUAGCACCCCAAACCUUCAGGACAAUUGAUGGAUUUUGAGGAGACCCUCGAACCUAACCUAUUUCUUGCUAGCCUCUCCGUAUCUCGAGGGCGAGAUACAUUUUAAGGGUGGUAGAUUUGUAACAUACCAAAAUUCCAAAUUUUGGAAUGUUAUAUUAAUUAACUAAUAAUGAUUGCUUGUGUGAUUUGUUAUGUGAAAUUUAGUGGAAUUUGAAACUUUUAGAAAGUUAAAUGAGAGGGAAUAAAAGGACUUUCCCAAACUUUCAUUCUUGCUUUUGGUUCCUUGGAAUUCAAAAUUUAAAUUCAAAACAAACCCUAGAGUGAAGAUAACAGGACUUCUUCCAUUUGAAAUAAAAAGUUUUUUUGAACGAUUUGAUUUCCAUUUGAAACUAAUUCAAACUCAGAAACUUUAUGCCACUCAAGGAUUUUCAUGAGAGAAGAUAUCUAACUUCUUAAAAUAUUUAUGAAAUCGAGUGGGGAGUAACGAGUACCAAUUUCAAAACUUAUUUGGAGCACUACUUGGAAUUUUCUCUUUUCAGUUGGAAUUUCAAAUCAUCUCAAAUCCUCUGAAUAUAUAAUAAUAGAGUGAAGGAAACAUGACCCUUCAAAACUCAGAGAAGAUUUGAGAAAUAUUUUAAUAAAUAAAACAGAAAACUAUUUGCAAAAGAUUUGAAAAUCAAAUUCAAAUCCAAUUUGAAGUUAUUAAUAAAAAUGAUUUUUUGUAAUUUAUUUUUCCUCUGAAAAUUAGUUCAUAUUUUUCUUGGUUUUAUUCAAAGAAUUUUGAUAUAUAAUUUGUCUAUGUAAAAUUUAUGUUAAAUUUCUUUUAUGAAUUUUCUUUCUCUGUUUUACAAAGAAAGGAGAAAGAGAGCCCACCGACCAAGCCAGGCCAGGCCACCCGGCCCAGCCCGGCAGCGGCCUCCACCGCGCCGAACCGCCUCCGCCUCACUCGCCCGCUCCCUUCUUCGCGUGCAUGCCGCCUCGCCCAGCCACCGAUAGGUGGGACCCACCUGUCGGGUUCAUCUUCCCCAAGCCGAGCAGAACUCCUCCUCCUGUACGCCAUCGCCGGCCAACGCCGAGUCCGCCCUGGACUCCUUCUCUCGCCCUUGCCCCUCGCCCAUGCAUCGCCCCGCCUCCCUCCUAUAUAUAGCCAUGACCUCGGCCUCUUUUUCCUCAACCCACAACCCCGAACGCCACCGCAGCCCGCGCCUGCACUCGCUGGAGUUCGAGCCGCCGCUGCAGCGCUGCCGCCUUGCCCCGCGCUUUACCGCCGCCGACGCCGCCGUUGGAUUCGUCUCAACGCGCCGCACCACCCCGACGGCUCCGCCGUCGCCGCAUACCAUCGGAACCGUCGCCGUCCCAAAGCCGAAGCUGCCGCCGCCGUCUUCGUCGCUGGCGACCACAACCGCCGCGGUACGCCACCGGACCCCCUCGUCUGUUCGAUCUAGAUUAGGCGUCCUAGAUUAGAUCGCGUAUUUGUUUUUUUCCUUUUUCUUUCGAACCAGUAUGCGCUAAGUAGUGAACGUUCGUUGGUUUAGAUCCACGGCGAACGGUUUUCAGCCUAUCGUUUUCUGCCACGUGUCCAGGGACGUAGAUGUGAUUUUUUUCUUCAGAUUAGCCCCUGUUUUUCAAACUAGCACAACUUUUCAACCGUUUGUCCAAACUCAGUGACACCAAUGCCAAAUUCUUCGUCAUGAUCUCAACUAUCCAGAGAACUUAUGAAAUCAAGUUUUUGAAAUUUGAAAAUUUGAAUUAGAUCAAAUUUGAAUUUAAACAUGUUUUGGCUAUAACUUGAGUUUUAAAACUCCGAUUUAAUUGAUUCUUUUUGCAAAUCGAAGCUCUUGACAUGUACCUUUUGUUAAGAUCAAAAUCAAAUAAUUUUGCUACUAUCAAAAAUAUGUUUCUUUCUAAAAGCUUUAUUUGAUGGUUUUGAAGUUUUUCGAAGUAUUUUCUUCGUUCUUUUGGAUCUUUGAGUGAUUGCUUAUGUGUGCAAAUAAUUGCUUGCUUACGAUAGAUUGAUCGGAGUGUGACAAGUAGAACUACCAGAAUUAUGAGUGCGAAGAAUCUUCAUCAACAGCUUUAAGGUGGCAAAAUUAACACACAUCUUGGUGGAAUGGUAGGGGCACCCUAGAGAAACCAGUGGCUUGCCCGGGCACCUGGAGAAACUAGUGCUUGCCCAAGGGGAUCCCGGAGGACCCGUGAGAUCACCCUAUGGUGCCACCCGGGCUCAAAGGGAUCAUACGAUAUUUCAUGCCUAGAAACUUUCGUGUGCAACCACAAGCCAUUAUGGGCUCUGGAAUAGUUGAGUAAGUUGUGGGAAACCUUUCCAUGAUAGGCUAGCAGAUGUAGGGGAAUUGUAGGUGUACCGGCCUAUUUAUCUGUUAAGGGGACCUCUUCGGAAAGUCUAUGUCUCGAUCAUCCGGUUCUCAAACAUCAGGCAGUGCGAGAAAAUCAAUGGAGGAGAUCGAGUCUUGUGGGAAAAAGUGUGCAAACCUCUGCAGAGUGUACAAACUAAUCAUGAUUAGCCGUGUCCCCGGUUAUGGACAACUUUGAGUAUCUAGAAGUGGAUUAUUGUUUGAUCUCAUCACGUUACUUAAUUAAUGUAUUGGGUUAUUAAUAAUUUGGGAAUUUUGGGAUUGAGUUGGAGGAACUUUCUCAAUAAUGGCAUAAACUUGGUAGUAAAAUAAAAAUGUAUUCCUUUGUUGUAGGGAAAAAUUAGCUUUAUGCAAAAUUAAACUUAGAGCCUCCACUAGCCAAAUAUGCAUAUAGAGAUAGACAUUUUCAUCAUUAUUCUAUGGUGUGAAAUUGCCAGUACAUUCAACGUACUGACCUACAUGGCUACAACGUCUCAUGUUGCAGGAAUCUUACGACGAGUAAGCGAUACGUUAGGGUUACGAUGUCUACACUCAACUUUGCCAUUGGUGUUGUUGGGACUCCACAACUUUGUUGUUACUUUCGCUAUAUGGAUUGAGGUAAUACUAUUUACGUUAUAUUGUACAUGUGAUUGAACUCUGUUAUAAAUCCUCGAGUACUGUGUGUGUCAGAAUACCGAUCCAGGGAUGACACUUAAGCAUAGAGACUUGAUCCAUUUGGGUAGGGUUGCUACAAUGUGCAUGCAUUUCGAAUUUGAAUUAUGCACAUAAAAUGCCUAGAAAACCUAGUUAACGAAUAAAAAUGUCCAAACGAGCCCCGAAAAAUUCCUAAACUUAACACAACACCCCUAUUGUUCUAUGUUGACACUAGAAUUUUUUUGAAAUCAAUAAGAGGCAACGAAUAUCGUUUCGUCCCCAAAGGUGGCACAUUCCCUACCGAAACAACCAAGCUUGUUGUGAGAAGCUCUGGUUUGUGAGAAGCUUAUACCCAAACCUGCCCCAAAUGGGACAAAAAAUUUACCACGGCAUGUUGAUGCCGCUCCAUGAUAUGCCAAGUUUCAUGAAUUUCUGACAAGUUUUGGAUUUAUUAGAAUUUAAAAACCAGGUAUCUCAACGUUUUGCCGGCAAUCAACAGUGCCCUAGUGUUUGAAAUUCAUUCCCAUUUCUUGGAUGGGACCUAAGCAUGCACCCAAGGACACAUAUUUCAUUUUUCAACCAAUUUAUAUGCACUGGAGCAUGUGCACGUAUUUCAAAUUUGAAUUAUGCACUUAAAAUGCCUAGAAAACCCAGUUAAUGUAUAAAAUGUCCAAACGAACCCCGAAAAUUUCCAACACUUGACACAACACUCCUGUUGUUCUAUGUUGACACAAGAAAUUUUUGAAAGCUAUAAGAGGCAACCGAUAUCGUUUCGUCCCCAAAGGUGGCACGUUCCCUACCGAAACCACCACGCUUGUUGUGAGAAGCUCUGGUUUGUGAGAAGCUUAUACCCAAACCUGCUCCAAAUGGGAAUUUUUUUACCACGACAUGUUGAUGCCGCUCCAUGAUACCAUGCCAAGUUUCAUGAAUUUCGGACGAGUUUUGGAUUUACUAGAAUUUAAACCAGGUAUCUCAAUGUUUUGCUGGCAAUCAACAGUGCCUUGGUGUUUGAAAUUCAUUCCCAUUUCUUGGAUGGGACCUAAGCAUGCACCCAAGGACACAUAUUUGAUUUUUCAACCAAUUUAUAUGCACCGGAUCAUGUGCAUGUAUUUCAAAUUUGAAUUAUGCACAUAAAAUUCUUAGAAAACCUAGUUAAUGUAUAAAAAUGUCCAAACAAACCCCAAAAAUUCCAAAACUUAACACAACACUCCUGUUGUUCUAUGUUGACACUAGAAAUUUUUUGAAAGCAAUAAGAGGCAACGGAUAUCGUUUCGUCCCCAAAGGUGGCACGUUCCCUAGCGAAACUACCAGGCUUGUUGUGAGAAGCUCUGGUUUGUGAGAAGCUUAUACCCAAACCUGCCACAAAUGGGACAAAAGUUUUGCCACAGCAUGUUGAUGCCGCUCCAUGAUACCAUGCCAAGUUUCAUGAAUUUCAGACGAGUUUUGGAUUUACUAGAAUUUAAAAACCAGGUAUCUCAAUGUUUUGCCAACAAUCAACAGUGCCCUAGUGUGUGAAAUUCAUCCCAUUUCUUGGAUGGGACCUAAGCAUGCACCAAAGAACACAUAUUUGAUUUUCGACCGAUUUAUAUGCACUGGAGCAUGUGCAUGUAUUUCAAAUUUGAAUUAUACAAAUAAAAUGCCUAGAAAACCCAGUUAAUGUAUGAAAAUGUCCAAACGAACCGCGAAAAAUUCCAAAACUUAACACACCACUCCUGUUGUUCUAUGUUAACACUAGAAAAUUUUUGAAAGCAAUAAGAGGCAAAGAAUAUCGUUUUGUCCCCAAAGGUGGCACGGUCCCUACCGAAACCACCAGGCUUGUUGUGAGAAGCUCUGGUUUGUGAGAAACUUAUACCCAAACCUGCCCCAAAUGGGACAAAAAUUUUACCACGGCAUGUUGACGCCGCUCCAUGAUACCAUGCUAAGUUUCAUGAAUUUCAGACGAGUUUUGGAUUUACUAGAAUUUAAAAACCAGGUAUCUCAAUGUUUUGCCAACAAUCAACAGUGCCCUAGUGUGUGAAAUUCAUCCCAUUUCUUGGAUGGGACCUAAGCAUGCAUCAAAGAACACAUAUUUGAUUUUCGACCGAUUUAUAUGCACUGGAGCAUGUGCAUGUAUUUCAAAUUUGAAUUAUGCAAAUAAAAUGCCUAGAAAACCCAGUUAAUGUAUGAAAAUGUCCAAACGAACCGCGAAAAAUUCCAAAACUUAACACACCACUCCUGUUGUUCUAUGUUAACACUAGAAAUUUUUGAAAGCAAUAAGUGAAGGAAAUAUGCCCUAGAGGCAAUAAUAAAGUAUUAUAUAUUUCCUUAUAUCAUGAUAAAUGUUUAUUAUUCAUGCUAGAAUUGUAUUAACCGGAAACAUAAUACAUGUGUGAAUACAUAGACAAACAGAGUGUCACUAGUAUGCCUCUACUUGACUAGCUCGUUAAUCAAAGAUGGUUAUGUUUCCUAGCCAUAGACAUGAGUUGUCAUUUGAUUAACGGGAUCACCUCAUUAGGAGAAUGACGUCAUUGACUUGACCCAUUCCGUUAGCUUAGCACCCGGUCGUUUAGUAUGUGCUAUUGCUUUCUUCAUGACUUAUACAUGUUCCUAUGACUAUGAGAUUAUGCAACUCUCGUUUACCGGAGGAACACUUUGUGUGCUACCAAACGGCACAACGUAAAUGGGUGAUUCUAAAGGUGCUCUACAGGUGUCUCCAAAGGUACUUGUUGGGUUGGCGUAUUUCGAUAUUAGGAUUUGUCACUCCGAUUGUCGGAGAGGUAUCUCUGGGCCCACUCGGUAAUGCACAUCACUAUAAGCCUUGCAAGCAUUGUGACUAAUGAGUUAGUUGCGGGAUGAUGUAUUACGGAACGAGUAAAGAGACUUGCCGGUAACGAGAUUGAACUAGGUAUCGAGAUACCGACGAUCGAAUCUCGGGCAAGUAACAUACCGAUGACAAAGGGAACAACGUAUGUUGUUAUGCGGUCUGACCGAUAAAGAUCUUCAUAGAAUAUGUGGGAGCCAAUAUGGGCAUCCAGGUCCCGCUAUUGGUUAUUGACCGGAGAGGUGUCUCGGUCAUGUCUACAUAGUUCUCGAACCCGUAGGGUCCGCACGCUUAACGUUACGAUGACAGUUUUAUUGAUUUUUGAUGUACUGAAGGAGUUCGGAGUCCCGGAUGAGAUCGGGGACAUGACGAGGAGUCUCGAAAUGGCCGAGACGUAAAAAUCGAUAUAUUGGACGACUAUAUUCGGACUUCGGAAAGGUUCCGAGUGAUUCGGGUAUUUUUCGGAGUACCGGAGAGUUACGGGAAUUCGUAUUGGGCCUUAAUGGGCCAUACGGGAAAGGAGAGAAAGGCCUCAAAAGGUGGUCGCGCCCCUCCCCAUGAUCUGGUCCGAAUUGGACUAGGGAAGGGGGGCGCCCCCUUCCUUCUUUCUCCUUUCCCUUCCCUUCUCCUAUUCCAACAAGGAAAGGAGGAGUCCUACUCCUGGUGGGAGUAGGACUCCCCCUUCUGGCGCGCCUCUCCUCCCUAGGCCGGCGGCCUCCCCCUUGCUCCUUUAUAUACGGGGGCAAGGGGGCACCCCAUGGACACACUUGAUAUAUGAUAUUUUAGCCGUGUGCGGUGCCCCCCUCCACCAUAUGACACCUCGAUAAUACCGUCGCGGAGCUUAGGCGAAGCCCUGCGUCGGUGGAACAUCAUCAUCGUCACCACGCCGUCGUGCUGACGAAACUCUCCCUCAAAACUCGGCUGGAUCAGAGUUCGAGGGACGUCAUCGAGCUGAACGUGUGUAGAACUCGGAGGUGCCGUGCGUUCGGUACUUGAUCGGUCGGAUCGUGAAGACGUACGACUACAUCAACCGCGUUGUGAUAACGCUUCCGCUGUCGGUCUACGAGGGUACGUGGACAACACUCUCCCCUCUCGUUGCUAUGCAUCACCAUGAUCUUGCGUGUGCGUAGGAAAUUUUUGAAAUUACUACGUUCCCCAACAGUGGCAUCCGAGCCUGGUUUUAUGCGUUGAUGCUAUGCACGAGUAGAACACAAGUGAGUUGUGGGCGAUAUAAGUCAUACUGCUUACCAGCAUGUCAUACUUUGGUUCAGCGGUAUUGUGAGAUGAAGCGGCCCGGACCGACAUUACGCGUACGCUUACGCGAGACUGGUUUCACCGUUGCGAGCACUCGUUGCUUAAAGGUGACCGGCGGGUGUCUGUCUCUCUCACUUUAGUUGAACCGAGUGUGGCUACGCCCGGUCCUUGCGAAGGUUAAAACAACACCAACUUGACAAACUAUCGUUGUGGUUUUGAUGCGUAGGUAAGAACGGUUCUUGCUAAGCCCGUAGCAGCCACGUAAAACUUGCAACAACAAAGUAGAGGACGUCUAACUUGUUUUUGCAGGGCAUGUUGUGAUGUGAUAUGGUCAAGACAUGAUGUGAUAUAAUUUGUUGUAUGAGAUGAUCAUGUUUUGUAACCGAGUUAUCGGCAACUGGCAGGAGCCAUAUGGUUGUCGCUUUAUUGUAUGAAAUGCAAUCGCCAUGUAAUAGUUUUACUUUAUCACUAAGCAGUAGCGAUAGUCGUAAAAGCAAUAAGUUGGCGAGACGACAGCGAUACUACGAUGGAGAUCAAGGUGUCGCGCCGGUGACGAUGGUGAUCAUGACGGUGCUUCGGAGAUGGAGAUCACAAGCACGGUGCUUCGGAGAUGGAGAUCACAAGCACAAGAUAAUGAUGGCCAUAUCAUAUCACUUAUAUUGAUUGCAUGUGAUGUUAAUCCUUUAUGCAUCUUAUCUUGCUUUGAUUGACGGUAGCAUUAUAAGAUGAUCUCUCACUAAAAUUUCAAGAUAAAGUGUUCUCCCUGAGUAUGCACCGUUGCGAAAGUUCUUCGUGCUGAGACACCACGUGUUAAUCGGGUGUGAUAGGCUCUACGUUCAAAUACAACGGGUGCAAAACAGUUGCACACGCGAAAUACUCAGGUUAAACUUGACGAGCCUAGUAUAUACAGAUAUGGCCUCGGAACACAGAGACCGAAAGGUCGAGCGUGAAUCAUAUAGUAGAUAUGAUCAACAUAGUGAUGUUCACCAUUGAUACUACUCCAUCUCAUGUGUUAAUCGGACAUGGUUUAGUUGAUUUGGAUCACGUAAUCACUUAGAUGAUUAGAGGGAUGUCUAUCUAAGUGGGAGUUCUUAAGUAAUAUGAUUAAUUGAACUUAAAUUUAUCAUGAACUUAGUCCUGAUAGUAUUUUGCAAAUUAUGUUAUAGAUCAAUAGCUCGCGUUGUUGCUUUCCUGUGUUUAUUUUUGAUAUGUUCCUAGAGAAAAAAUUAUGUUGAAAGAUGUUAGUAGCAAAGAUGCGGAUUGGAUCCGUGAUCUGAGGAUUAUCCUCAUUGCUGCACAGAAGAAUUAUGUCCUUGAUGCACCGCUAGGUGAUAGACCUAUUGCAGGAGCAGAUGCAGACGUUAUGAACGUUUGGCUAGCUCAAUAUGAUGACUACUUGAUAGUUUAGUGCACCAUGCUUAACGGCUUAGAAUCGGGACUUCAAAGACGUUUUGAACGUCAUGGACCAUAUGAGAUGUUCCAGGAGUUGAAGUUAAUAUUUCAAGAAAAAUACCCGAGUUGAGAGAUAUGAAGUCUCCAACAAGUUCUAUAGCUAAAAGAUGGAGGAGAAUCGCUCAACUAGUGAGCAUGUGCUCAGAUUGUCUGGGUACUACAUUCGCUUGAAUCAAGUGGGAGUUAAUCUUCCAGAUAAAAUAGUGAUUGACAGAAUUCUCUAGUCACCAUCACCAAAGUUAGUAGAACUUCGUGAUGAACUAUAGUAUGCAAGGGAUGACGAAAGUAAUUCCCGAGCUCUUCCUGAUGCUGAAAUCGACGAAGGUAGAAAUCAAGAAAAACAUCAAGUGUUCAUGGUUGACGUAACCACUAGUUUCAAGAAAAGGGCAAAGGGAAGAAGAGGAACUUCAAGAAGAACGGCAAGCAAGUUGCUGCUCAAGUGAAGAAGCCUAAGUCUGGUCCUAAGCCUGAGACUAAGUGCUUCUACUGCAAAGGGACUGGUCACUGGAAGCGGAACUACCCCAACUAUUUGGUGGAUAAGAAGGAUGGCAAAGUGAACAAAGGUAUAUUGGAUAUACAUGUUAUUGAUGUGUACUUUACUAGUGUUUAUAGCAACCCCUCGGUAUUUGAUACUAGUUCAGUUGCUAAAGUAGUAACUCGAAUUGGGAGUUGCAGAAUAAACAGAGACUAGUAAAAGGCGAGGUGACGAUGUGUGUUGGAAAUGGUUCCAAGAUUGAUAUGAUCAUCAUCGCACACUCCCUGUACUUUCGGGAUUAGUGUUGAAACUAAAUAAGUGUUAUUUGGUGUUUGCGUUGAGCAUGAAUAUGAUUUGAUCAUGUUUAUUGCAAUACGGUUAUUCAUUUAAGUUAGAGAACAAUUGUUGCUCUGUUUACAUGAAUAAAAACCUUCUAUGGUCAUACACACCAACGAAAAUGGUUUGUUGGAUCUCGAUCGUAGUGAUACACAUAUUCAUAAUAUUGAAGCCAAAAGAUGCAAAGUUAAUAAUGAUAGUGCAACUUAUUUAUGGCACUGCCGUUUAAGUCAUAUUGGUGUAAAGCGCAUGAAGAAACUCCAUACUGAUGGGAUUUUGGAAUCACUUGAUUAUGAAUCACUUGAUGCUUGCGAACCAUGCCUCAUGGGCAAGAUGACUAAAACGCCGUUCUCCGGAACUAUGGAGAGAGCAACAGAUUUGUUGGAAAUCAUACAUACAGAUGUAUGUGGUCCGAUGAAUAUUGAGGCUCGUAGCAGGUAUCAUUAUUUUCUGACCUUCACAGAUGAUUUGAGCAGAUAUGGGUAUAUCUACUUAAUGAAACAGAAGUCUGAAACAUUUGAAAAUUUCAUAUAAUUUCAGAGUGAAGCGGAAAAUCAUCGUAAACAAGAAAAUAAAGUCUCUACGAUCUGAUCGUGGAGAAGAGUAUUUGAGUUACGAGUUUGGCCUUCAGUUAAAACAAUGUGAAAUAGUUUCACUACUCACGCCACCUGGAACACCACGGUGUAAUGGUGUGUCCGAACGUCGUAAUCGUACUUUAUUAGAUAUGGUGCGAUAUAUGAUGUAUCUUACCGAUCUACCACUAUCGUUUUGAGGUUAUGCAUUAGAGACAGCUGCAUUCACGUUAAAUAGGGCACCAUCAAAAUCCGUUGAGACGACGCCUUAUGAACUGAGGUUUAGCAAGAAACCAAAGUUGUCGUUUCUUAAAAUUUUGGGGUUGCGAUGCUUAUGUGAAAAGGUUUCAUCCUGAUAAGCUCAAACCCAAAUCGGAGAAAUGUGUCUUCAUAGGAUACCCAAAGGAGACAGUUGGGUACACCUUCUAUCACAGAUCCGAAGGCAAGACAUUCGUUGCUAAGAAUGGAUCCUUUCUAGAGAAGGAGUUUCUCUCGAAAGAAGUGAGUGGGAGGAAAGUAGAACUUGAUGAGGUAACUGUACCUGCUCCCUUAUUGGAAAGUAGUUCAUCACAGAAAUCUGUUCCUGUGACUCCUACACCAAUUAGUGAGGAAGUUAAUGAUGAUGAUCAUGUAACUUCAGAUCAAGUUAACUACCAAACCUCGUAGGUAAACCAGAGUGAAAUCCACACCAGAGUGGUACGGUAAUCCUGUUCUGGAGGUCAUGUUAUUUGACCAUGACGAACCUACAAACUAUGAGGAAACGAUGAUGAGCCCAGAUUCCGCAAAAUGGCUUGAGGCCAUGAAAUCUGAGAUGAGAUCCAUAUAUGAGAACAAAGUAUGGACUUUGAUUGACUUGCCCAAUGGUCGGCGAGCCAUUGAGAUUAAAUGGAUCUUCAAGAGGAAGACAGACAGUGAUAGUAGUGUUACUAUCUACAAAGCUAGAAUUGUCGCAAAAGGUUUUCGACAAGUUCAAGGUGUUGACUACGAUGAGAGUUUCUCACUCGUAUCUAUGCUUAAAUCUGUCUGAAUCAUGUUAGCAAUUGCCGCAUUUUAUGAAAUAUGGCAAAUGGAUAAACAAAACUGCAUUCCUUAAUGGAUUUAUUAAAGAAGAGUUGUAUAUGAUGCAACCAGAAGGUUUUGUCAAUCCUAAAGGUGCUAACAAAAUAUGCAAGCUCCAGCGAUCCAUCUAUGGACUGGUGCAAGCAUCUCAGAGUAGGAAUAUACGCUUUGAUAAGUUGAUCAAAGGAUAUAGUUUUAUACAGACUUGCGGUGAAGCCUGUAUUUACAAGAAAGUGAGUGGGAGCACUACAACAUUUCUGAUAAGUAUAUGUGAAUGACAUAUUGUUGAUCGGAAAUAAUGUGGAAUUAUUCUGCAAAGCAUAAAGGAGUGUUUGAAAGGAGUUUUUCAAAGAAAGACCUCGGUGAAGCUGCUUACAUAUUGAGCAUCAAGAUCUAUAGAGAUAGAUGAAGACGCUUGAUAAGUUUUUUCAAUGAGUACAUACCUUAACAAGAUUUUGAAAUGGUUCAAAAUGGAACAGUCAAAGAAAGAGUUCUUGCCUGUGUUACAAGGUGUGAAAUUGAGUAAGACUCAAAGCCCGACCACGGCAGAAGAUAGAAAGAGAAUGAAAGUCAUUCCCUAUGCCUUGGCCAUAGGUUCUAUAAAGUAUGCCAUGCUGUGUACCAUAUCUAUUGUAUACCCUACACUGAUUUUGGCAGGGGAGUACAAUAGUGAUCUAGGAGUAGAUCACUGGACAGCGGUCAAAAUUAUCCUUAGUGGAAUAAGGAUAUGUUUCUCGAUUAUGGAAGUGACAAAAGGUUCGUCGUAAAGGGUUACGUCGAUGCAAGUUUUGACACUAAUCUAGAUGACUCUAAGUCUCGGUCUAGAUACAUAUUGAAAGUGGGAGCAAUUAGCUAAGAGUAGCUCCGUGCAGAGCAUUGUAAACAUAGAAAUUUGCAAAAUACUUACGGAUCUAAAUGUGACAGACCCGUUGACUAAAAUUAUCUCACAAUCAAAACAUGAUCACACCUUAGUACUCUUUGGGUGUUAAUCACAUAGCGAUGUGAACUAGAUUAUUGACUCUAGUAAACCCUUUUGAGUGUUGGUCACAUAGAGAUGUGAACUAUGGGUGUUAAUCACAUGGUGAUGUGAAUUAUUGAUGUUAAAUCACAUGGCGAUGUGAACUAGAUUAUUGACUCUAGUGCAAGUGGGAGACUGAAGGAAAUAUGCACUAGAGGCAAUAAUAAAGUAUUAUAUAUUUCCUUAUAUCAUGAUAAAUGUUUAUUAUUCAUGCUAGAAUUGUAUUAACCGGAAACAUAAUACAUGUGUGAAUACAUAGACAAACAGAGUGACUAGUAUGCCUCUACUUGACUAGCUCGUUAAUCAAAGAUGGUUAUGUUUCCUAGCCAUAGACAUGAGUUGUCAUUUGAUUAACGGGAUCACCUCAUUAGGAGAAUGGCGUGAUUGACUUGACCCAUUCCGUUAGCUUAGCACCCGGUCGUUUAGUAUGUUGCUAUUGCUUUCUUCAUGACUUAUACAUGUUCCUAUGACUAUGAGAUUAUGCAACUCCCGUUUACCGGAGGAACACUUUGUGUGCUACCAAACGUCACAACGUAAAUGGGUGAUUAUAAAGGUGCUCUACGGGUGUCUCCAAAGGUACUUGUUGGGUUGGCGUAUUUCGAGAUUAGGAUUUGUCACUCCGAUUGUCGGAGAGGUAUCUCUGGGCCCACUCGGUAAUGCACAUCACUAUAAGCCUUGCAAGCAUUGUGACUAAUGAGUUAGUUGCGGGAUGAUGUAUUACGGAACGAGUAAAGAGACUUGCCGGUAACGAGAAUGAACUAGGUAUCGAGAUACCGACGAUCGAAUCUCGGGCAAGUAACAUACCGAUGACAAAGGGAACAACGUAUGUUGUUAUGCGGUCUGACCGAUAAAGAUCUUCGUAGAAUAUGUGGGAGCCAAUAUGGGCAUCCAGGUCCCGCUAUUGGUUAUUGACCGGAGAGGUGUCUCGGUCAUGUCUACAUAGUUCUCGAACCCGUAGGGUCCGCACGCUUAAUGUUACGAUGACAGUUUUAUUGAUUUUUGAUGUACCGAAGGAGUUCGGAGUCCCGGAUGAGAUCGGGGACAUGACGAGGAGUCUCGAAAUGGCCGAGACGUAAAAAUCGAUAUAUUGGACGACUAUAUUCGGACUUCGGAAAGGUUCCGAGUGAUUCGGGUAUUUUUCGGAGUACCGGAGAGUUACGGGAAUUCGUAUUGGGCCUUAAUGGGCCAUACGUGAAAGGAGAGAAAGGUCUCAAAAGGUGGCCGCGCCCCUCCCCAUGAUCUGGUCCGAAUUGGACUAGGGAAGGGGGGCGCCCCCUUCCUUCUUUCUCCUUCUCCCUUCCCUUCUCCUAUUCCAACAAGGAAAGGAGGAGUCCUACUCCCGGUGGGAGUAGGACUCCCCCUUCUGGCGCGCCUCUCCUCCCUAGGCCGGCGGCCUCCCCCUUGCUCCUUUAUAUACGGGGGCAAGGGGGCACCCCAUGGACACACUUGAUAUAUGAUAUUUUAGCCGUGUGCGGUGCCCCCCUCCACCAUAUGACACCUCGAUAAUACCGUCGCGGAGCUUAGGCGAAGCCCUGCGUCGGUGGAACAUCAUCAUCGUCACCACGCCGUCGUGCUGACGAAACUCUCCCUCAACACUCGGCUGGAUCGGAGUUCGAGGGACGUCAUCGAGCUGAACGUGUGUACAACUCGGAGGUGCCGUGCGUUCGGUACUUGAUCGGUCGGAUCGUGAAGACGUACGACUACAUCAACCGCGUUGUGAUAACGCUUCCACUGUCUGUCUACGAGGGUACGUGGACAACACUCUCCCCUCUCGUUGCUAUGCAUCACCAUGAUCUUGCGUGUGCGUAUGAAUUUUUUUGAAAUUACUACGUUCCGAGGCAAAGAAUAUCAUUUUGUCCCCAAAGGUGGCACGGUCCCUACGGAAACCACCAGGCUUGUUGUGAGUAGCUCUGGUUUGUGAGAAACUUAUACCCAAACCUGCCCCAAAUGGGACAAACUUUUUACCACGGCAUGUUGACGCCGCUCCAUGAUACCAUGCCAAGUUUCAUGAAUUUCAGACGAGUUUUGGAUUUACUAGAAUUUAAAAACCAGGUAUCUCAAUGUUUUGCCUGCAAUCAACAGUGCCCUGGUGUUUGAAAUUCAUUCCAAUUUCUUGGAUGGGACCUAAGCAUGCAGCCAAGGACACAUAUUUGAUUUUUCAACCAAUUUAUAUGCACUGGAGCAUGUGAAUGUAUUUCAAAUUUGAAUUAUGCACAUAAAAUGCCUAGGAAACCCAGUCAAUGUAUAAAAAUGUCCAAACGAACCCCGAAAAAUUCCAAAACUUAACACACCACUCCUGUUGUUCUAUGUUGACACUAGAAUUUUUUUGAAAGCAAUAAGAGGCAACGGAUAUCGUUUCGUCCCCAAAGGUGUCGUGGUGUUCGAAAUUCAUCCCCAUUUCUUGCAUGGGACAUAAGCAUAAACCCAUGGACAUAAGCAGAUAAAAGGUCUGGCAAUUCAAACACCGUCCAUUGCCGCUGUGAGCCCAUUAUGUAAUUCAAAUUGAUGGAAAAUCAAGUAGAUCCCACACUGUUUAUUAUCACCAACCGUGUGAGAUGCAGUACAAAAUAUCCUGGAGCACCAUCGUUGUAUAGUACGCCUAUGGCUUACGCGAGAAGGUGCGUCGGCUACAGUCCACAGUAUUACUGCCUCGUAAUCUUGAAAAUAUCUACCGCCUGGAAGGUUUUAAUGUUUGAUAGCACACGAUUAGUAUGUGCGGACCGUGUGCGAUGUCUGAUACUCCCACUCUGCUUUAGUCCCUUGAUUUAAAUUUUCAGUAGCCCCGGCAUUUUACUCCCGCCUCUGCAUCCCUCGCAAUUUCAAAAAUAUUUGCUCACCCUUGACCAAAUUUUCAGUAGCCCCGCCUUAUUACUCCCGCCUAGUAAAAUUUUUAGUUGUCGCAGUAUUUCCUCAAACACAACCUUGCCCUCCCUCCACACACACCACACAAUCCCCAAAACCUCCGCUCACACAGACACAGACCACCCCCGAAAGCAUUGGUAGGUCACCGCCAUCGCCAACGCCUCCAUCCUCAACCUCUGCCUGUGUGCCGGGGAGCUCGAGGAGCCAAUGGCCAAAAAGAGGUUUAUUGCGGCCUUUUUGCCCGACGCCGGCGAGGUGGCCGCCGAGGUGUCCCCGUCGUCCUCCGCGGGCUCGAUCCGCUGUUGCUGGUCCCCCAAUCCGCCCGCCGGCGCGCCCCUAUGCCGGUUCGAGGACUUCCCCGUCCUCCCUCGAACCCGGCAGCCGACGAGGUCCUACCUCGGGGUCCGGCAGCGGCGGUGGGGGACGUGGGUCACCGAGAUUACAGAUCGGGAGACCCACGCCCGCCAGUGCUCGGUAGCUUCCGCACGGCCGAGCUCGCGGUCAUGGAGUAUGACCGCUGGCAGGUCCGCUACCACGGCGCGACGGCUAGGCUCAAUUUCCCUUCGGCACACGUCCGAUCGACCUCGUUCCGCCGGAGCCAGGGGUGGUGAGCUCGAGGCGUGGGAGCGCCUCGAGGCCGAGGCUGCCGAUGAGGCCUACAUGCAAGGGCUCCACCACCAGCACCCGGAGCUCGUGGAGGCGGAGCGGGCGAUCUUUGCCGGCGCGGAGGGUGGCGAGGUUAUCGCGCUCUCCUCCGAUAACAAGGUCGAAGGCGGCGAGGACGGCGGCACGGAGGGCGGCAAGGUUAUCGCGCUCUCCUCCAAUGACGAGGUCGAAGGCGGCGGCGACGGCGGCGCGGAGGGCGUCGAGGUGGGCCCCGAGGACGAGGAGAUGGACGUCGACGAGUGGAGGAGUGCCUUCCCCAACGACCCCGACGACGGCACCGGCCCGGACCCGGCUCGCGGCACACCGUACAUGACGAGGAAGGAUUGGCUUGACCUCUACUUCGACCGAAAGUAGUUUAGCUUAGUUUAAAUUUAUGUUUUAUGUUCGGUUAUGCAAAACUAUCUAUGUUUAUGUUUGAUUGCAUGCUACUUUCGGUUGAACCUGCUUUGAACUUGAUCAUAUUAAAGUUUACGGGAUCGACUAGAAAAGGGCAAAAAUUGCUGGAGUAUAUAUAUAGGACAACACUACUCUAAUCUCAGGAUUAGAAUAGUUACUUCGAUCACGGUGCCCCUAUAUAACAGCGAUGGGGUUUCUCCGAACUCACGGAAACGGUAGCGAAAAAAGAAAAAAAAACCCACUCCCGAUCCCAUCGCUCCCAACCUCCUGCCCCCGCCCCAGAUUCCCCUCACCCCGCGCCGCCGCAUGAUCUCCCCGGGGCCCCCGCCUCCNNNNNNNNNNNNNNNNNNNNNNNNNNNNNNNNNNNNNNNNNNNNNNNNNNNNNNNNNNNNNNNNNNNNNNNNNNNNNNNNNNNNNNNNNNNNNNNNNNNNNNNNNNNNNNNNNNNNNNNNNNNNNNNNNNNNNNNNNNNNNNNNNNNNNNNNNNNNNNNNNNNNNNNNNNNNNNNNNNNNNNNNNNNNNNNNNNNNNNNNNNNNNNNNNNNNNNNNNNNNNNNNNNNNNNNNNNNNNNNNNNNNNNNNNNNNNNNNNNNNNNNNNNNNNNNNNNNNNNNNNNNNNNNNNNNNNNNNNNNNNNNNNNNNNNNNNNNNNNNNNNNNNNNNNNNNNNNNNGACGCCGCCGCCCCACCCCGCCAUCCCCUAGCGGCGCCGCUGCCCCACCCCGCGACUCUGGUGGAUCUCCAGGGAGGUGACAUUCUCGCUACAGCUGACUUGACCUCCGCAAAAAAAGUUUCUCCCUCAAGCGGCGUUCUUGUCGCGUCCACAGGAGUUGAGCUGGAGCGUCUCGGUGGACGAGGAGCAUGACGAUGCAGCCACCGGCCUCCUACCACAGCAAGCGACCGCCGCGGCCAUCCUCCACCUGCCGCUGUAGCCUUCCUCCCCGACCGCCUCCACGACACGCUGGCCUUCGUCUACCUCUGCUCCGCUGCUGCCCAAGGCUGUGUGCGCGAUGGCGGCCCAUGUCGUUUAUCGUCCUGGUUGCGUACGCGUUGACGAGUGAUGCCCCGAUCCAGCUCCUCCAUCCUACAGCCACGGCAAGUCCAAAAGAAAGACAUUCAGUCUAGCAAGCCAAAUGGUUGACCACCAACCCACGCGUGGAUUGGCCCUGACCUGCAGCUGGAGGAGGCCGCGACCUUCAGCUGUAGGAGACGUCGACCUGCAGCUGGAGGAGGCCCCGACCUUCAGCUGUUAAUUUUGAGGAACUAGCUACUCUGAUAAUCUAACUUGACACCGUAUUUGUUUUUGUUCUUCAUAAGUUCAGGCAACUAGGUUGCUAACUAGGAAAACCUUCUCUGGUUGUGCUAACUAGUACGUACUACUAAACUAUAAUAAUCUUGUGAAGUGGAUAAUGCUCGUGCCCCUGGACGCUGGCCAUGUGAGAUUUUGAUGGCUUCGUACUUUUGUUAUUUGAUUUUUGAAUAACAGAAGUUCUCUUCUUUGUCUGUAGAAAACCCCAGUAUGUCACAUUUGUUUGUCGUUAUCCUCUGAAAAAUGGCAUUGUUGCAGGUCAGUUUCGCCUGAUGCAUCAGUUCAGUUGAAAAAACAGAAGAGCAUUAUACCUUAUUGUCUACUCCGCUGACUUCUUUUUCUAUACCAUGUAGGUUAGCUUCGCCUGAUGCGUUAGUUCAGUUUCAUAGUGCACGAUAGGCAUGAUCCAGUAACCAUGGCAUUCCAUCCCCACAACCCGCCGCUGGCCGUCAACCCAACCGCCGCUGUCCCCGGCCACCACACUAGCACUGCCGCUCCUGCGUCUCCGACCACAUUGACCUUCUCGUGAGGGCCACCUUGACCUUCCCAAUGAAGGUUCAUCCAGGGAGUGGACGCUCCCGCCACUCCACCGCCGCGUCGUGCCUGGCUCGUUGCACGUCUCCGCCCUCUGUCACCAGUGCGCUGCCACCGCAUAGAGCUUCCAGCACACUGCCUUGGCCUGCCCUUCCAACGCCAAGCUUCCCUUGUGCGACGUCGGCUACCACUCGUGGCAGAGCGGCUACUUCCCUCCCCGCUGUGCCAGCAGCUAGCGGCCAUUCGCCCCCUGGCCUGUUCUUGCUUCGUUGUCUUCAGAAAAUUUCAGAAAAACUAACUGAACUCAUAUGUUGUUUCAUCAAAAUUACUGUGGAUUUGUACUACUGAUUACUAAAAAGUUCAGAAACGAUUCUCCCACAAACAGAAGUUCAGGUCGCUGUUUGUUGUUAGUUCAGAAUGUCCGGCGGUCGCGGAUCCGGUGGUGCUUGACUGCAGUGAGCCGUCCACGCGGGCACAGCAUCCGAUGGAAGCCGAGUCAAUUGUAGCCAACGCGAGGAGGGGUUAGUAUAGCUGUCUGUGGAGUUCAUAUCCAUACAUGGCGUGCUCUUGGUGGAAUCGGCCAACAUGAAUUUGCUACAGGUUAAUACAACAAGCAAUUCACUUGAGUAGUCCCUUUAACUUGUAGUUGUUGUUGUCAACUCUAGUCAUUCGCUUCUGCAAAAAGUGCUGAUCUUUUUCCUAUUGCGUGAGUAGCUUAGUGGUGGUGGCUUUGGAGAUGGAUGAGAACAAAGGUGUGUGUGUGUGGUAGAAAAAAGGGUCCACGAAACUUGUAUUUUCUUCAUAUAUACUCUGGUUAUUUUGGUCGUUGGACUAUGGAUGUUUACGACAUUGGACUGCUCUGAUUUUAUUGAACAUAUAAAAAAAUGGAAGCACAGCGCAUGUUCUGGGCACUUGAGAAGACAAGGAAAUGAUUGGGAUGAAAACAUGUGGUGGUAAAAAUUCCACAGUUUUUCAGUUUAAAAGAACCAUUCUCAACUUUUGUAGUCAUUUAUUUUGCUCUGUUCAGCCUAUGCAAAAAAGGAAGCAAGCUCAUGCAACUUGUUACAAAUCAUUUUUUCAUUAAAUAGGUUGCAAAAAAAAGUGUAAGCAUAUGUGUUUACCAUGCCGCACUAGGCCCAUCAUUUAUUUGUUCCCCCUUUUUAGGAAUACUUGUUAAAUGGCUACUCGUUUGUACAUAUGUUAAAUAAUAUUCACUUCCUCUCAUGUGUUAAAAAUACUGGCAACUCUGAACCUAAAACAAGUUCAGCUAUGAGAACACACGAAAUUCAAAUAGUACAUGUGCAAAAAAGCCUCCCUUGUAGUUAUGAAACAAACAUGCACUAUAUUAAAGCCUAUGGACAAAAUCAAUCAUUGUGAAAAAGUAGUGCGCCGAUCAAAAAAAUUGUUUAUAAACAAUUUACAGAAUUUAAAUUAAAAACACAAAGAUGAUUGAUCUUUGUACAAAAAUAUAUUUUCUGAUUUCUAAAAAAACAAGGUGAGAUUAAAACAAAAUAGAAAUAAUUAAAAAAAAUAAACAAAAAGGAUUGUCCUUGUUUCUAAAAAACAUAGAAGUUCAAGUUUCAAUAAAGGGGCGGUUUGAUGUUUAUUAGAACACAAGGGCUUCCUCCAUUACUAAAUAAUAAACCAAGAAGUUUAAAUUAAAAAGAUAGAGAAGUUCAAAACUUUUUGACGAGAAUUUCAUAAGAAGUUCAAACCAAAAUGACAAAGUAUUUAAAAAAUAACACAAAACUUUGAAGCAAGUAUUUCACCGUUUCUAGAAUACAUAAAUUUUCGUGUUUUUAAUUAAAUCUCAAGAAGUUGAGAUUAAAAUAACAGAAUAGUUAAAAUUAUGGAUUAAAAAUACAUUUUCUCCAUUUCUAGGAAAAACCUAGAUGUUUAACUUUAAAUAAAGAAGCAAUCCAAAUUUAAAUAAUGAAGCGAUUACAAAACUCAAAAUUCCUCAUUAAUAAAAAAUAAACUAAGAAGUUCAAAUUCAAAUAAUAGAGCAGUGCGAUUUUUAUAAUUCAUGAAGAAAACAAAAGGCCUCGCCUAGAAAAUGUUAACUCUCAAAGUUCAAAUUUUUCCAUUACUAAAGCGAAACAGAGAGAAGUUCAAAUUGAUAAUAGCCCGAAGUUCAUGUACUGCAUGUGUGUGUGUUUGUAUGAGAAAAAAUGAAUAAAAACGAAGUCUAAAAAUUUUGUUGCUAGAAGUUCAAGUGCUAAGCCCGAGAAAGUUCAAAAAGUUCCUCCUAUUCAACAACUUUCCAAGGGUAUAUAAUAUUCUUAUUCCAAAUAAAGGGUUAAUACAAAUUGGUGUAUCUUGUUCGAAACAAAAGUUAAACCGUGUUAGAAAAAGUUACAUCUUUUCAACAGGUUUCUGAUGGUAUAUCAUUUGUGCAACACUGACGAAACGGAUGAGUAAUCGCGAACAAAAAUAUGUGACAGAAGUUCAAGGUGAAAACAACGAGCAGUUCAAUUACUAUACGCUAUGCGUUUCGGAAGAGAAUAGAAGAAUAAAAAAGUAAAAGCCUAAAAGGUUUGUUGCAAGAAGUUCACGUGCUCCACCCUGAACGGUUUGGAAAUUAUAUUACGAGACUCCGACCUUCAAUUACAUGUUUAAAAAAAGAGGCAAAAACAACAUUGUGUUUGCCAUUUUUAAAACUGCUCUCAAACGGCAACAAAUUUGUAACACGUGUCUACAUGAAAAAGUUGCUCCUAUUCAUAAGCUUUCCAAUGGUAUAUUAUAUGCUAUAUUCCGACGAAUGGUUUAAAAGUUUUUAUGAAAAAUUGAUUAACACAGGAAAGUUGCGAGUUUUCAAUAGCUUUCCAUCGGUAUAUCAUUCCACAAUUCCGGUAAGUGGUUUGGAGCUACGGGCAAAAAACAACACGUCAAAAAUAGAGUGAAGUUCAAACAGACAUGCCCCAGAAAUUCAACUACUUCACGCAGUGCAUUUCCGUUCGUGAUGAACGCGGAAAUCAUGAUCUCGCCAUUUUUUAAUUUACUUCAAAACGGCAGGAAUAUCAUUUGUGUAAGUUCAAGUCCUCGGUCGGAGAAAGUUAAAAAAUAUAUUGUGAGAGAGGUUUGUACAAAAGGAAUAUUAUUUGUGUAACACUGACGAAUGAAUGAGGAAAUUACAAACAAAAAUACGUCAUAGAAGUUCAACGUGAAAACAGCAGGAAGUUCAACUACUACGCUGAAUGAAUUUUAGAUGAAAAACUUUUAAAAUCGUCAGUAAAAUCUGAGUUUCAAUGUCAUUGGUGCGGCGCAACUGGUUCAAUGCUUGUUAUAAACCCAAAGAAGGUCAUUAAAAAGCAUCUCAAACAAUUUUAUAAAAAAGAUUUUCUCUCAUAAAAUAAACCUAGAAGUUAAAAUUUAAAAACAGAGCGGCUCGAUGUCUAUCAGAAAGUAGGAUUUUUUCCGUUACUAAAAGAAAUAAAACCAGGAAGUCCAAUUUAAAAAGAUGGAGAAGUUCGAUGAUUAUAGAAAACUCAGAUUUUCCUCGUUAUUAAAGAAUGGAAAUAAGAAGUUCAAAAAUUAAUUAACAAGAAGUUCAACUUUAAAAAAUAUAGCGAUUCAAAAUUUCAUAAAAAAGAUUAAGAAAAAAACCAGAAAGUCCAUAUUAAAAAGAUGGAGAAGUUCGAUUAUUAUAGAAAACUCAUAUUUCCCUCGUUAGUAAAGAAUGGAAACAAGAAGUUCAAAAAUAAAAUAACAAGAAGUUCAACUUUUAAAAAUAGAGCGCUUCAGAAUUCAUAAAAAAAGGAUUAAGAAAUUCAGAUUAAUAUUCAUAAAAAACUCAGAUAUUUUCGCGAAACCGAGAGAAGUUCAGAUUGAUAACUGCAGAAGUUCACGUACUACACGGUGUGCAUUUUGUAUUAAAAAAGAAUAAAGAGACAAAGACUAAAACUUUUGUUUUUAUAAGUUCAAGUCCUCGGUCGGAGAUAGUUAAAAAAAUUAUUGUGAGAGAGGUUUGUACAAAAGGAAUAUCAUUUGUGCAACACUGACGAAUGGAUUAGAAAAUUAGAAACGAAAAUACGUCACAGAAGUUCAACGUGAAAACAGCAAGAAGUUCACCUACUACACUGAAUGAAUUUCAGAUGAAAAAACUUUUAAAAUCAUCGCGAGUAUGAAAAAAUGAUCAACACGGGAAAGUUGCGUGUUUACAACAGCUUUCCAUUGGUAUAUCACUUGCUCAAUUUCGGUGAGUUAAUGGAGAGCUACGAGCAAAAAAAAGCACAUGGAAAAUAGAGUGAAGUUAAGGUAGACAUGCCGAGAAGUUCAAUUCUUCACGCGGUGCAUUUUCAGAGAAUCUCUUUCGCGCUAGAGGCAGAACAAAUGAUCUCGCCGUUUUCGAAAUUACUUGAAAAUGGCUAGGAAUUAGACAAAACCGUCAACAUGAAAAAGUUUUGCAUUUUCUGUAGCUUUUCAACGGUAUAUUAUUUGCCCCAUUGCGAUAAAGUUUGUAGAAAUUACGGUGAAAAUACGUUUUUGGCCAUUUUCAAAAGACUUAAAACCGUAACGAAUUGUGAUGAGGACAUCAAUACCAUUGUUACACCCACAACCCCUGCUAUUAUACAUACUGGACCGAUUACUAGAGCUCACGCACGCCAAUUAAAUUACCAGGUACUUUCGUUUCUUGGUAAUGAUUCUAAUGUUCAUGAGAAUAUGAUGCUGCCUAAAUUGGAUACAUUUGUUUUGCUUAUAAUGAAGGGCCUAGCUUGGAGAAGGAUGAACAUUGGAGCAAGAACAAGCAUGGAGUUGAUGGCAUGCGCAAGGGAGACAAGAACAGAGUUUCAAGUGAUGAUUUCAGGACUUUGAAGCCACCAUAAUGAGUGCAUGAAGCCUUGGACGAAAUAUACAAGAUGCCACUUCAUAAUUUUCGUCCAGAGGCUAUUCUAGGUGCUGCGUCACCUUAUUUUGGGCCAGGCCCAUGUAAUUUCGAAAUACUUCAAUAUAGGCUGUUUUUAGAGUCCGUAUGUGUGGGGAAACAAAAGUUAGGGUGGGUUUCGGACCCCUCCUCCAAGGGCCACGAAAUUCCCCCCCUCUUCCUCCAUAUAUACAGCCCCUAGGGCAUCAUUUAGACUUUGGGUUUUGUUUAGAUUAAAAGUUCGCCAUAGCCGCAACUUCGCGUACUUCGUUUGUGUUCAACGACUAGAUAAAGGUGUCACAGAACCCCACCUUGAUCAAUAAAGCUUUCCUCUUAUAUUUGCAAUAUCCAGAUUGCAAUCUUAGUUUCUUGCUUGUUCUUCGUUUGCCUACAGGAAUCAGACCUUCGUGGUCAGGUUGAUCGUGCUCCGUCGUGGUCAAUAACCUCUCGGAGUUGGUUUAGCGAUUGCUAAGGCGCGACGUCCUCGCACGUUCGUAGUCGGAUCGUCAAAGUCGACUUCCUCCAAAACGAUAGCCUCCAUCUCAUCGAAAGACGGGACACCUUUGCCUCUAUCAAGUGGUAUCAGAUUUCCAGGUUGCUCGGUGAUAUUUUACAGUUUUUCGUAGUUUAGAUCGAGUCUGUUCUUCAUACCUAUAGUCCAUGAAAAAGCCAAAAAAAAUAUUAGGGUUAGUUCAUCUUAUCCGAACCAAUCUGAGCCUUUGCAUAAUAUUUUCUGUAUUUGCUUUGUUGAAUUUGCGGUUGCAUCGUCGUGUCAAGUUGCUGGUUCUAGCGUCUAGUACUUUAGAGUUUCGAGUUCUGUUCACAAGUUGUCUCGCCGCCGCCGCACCAUCGUCAUCACCGCUGCCAUAUACCACCAUUGUCAUCACCGUUGCCAUAUACCACCAUCAUCAUCACCGCUACCAUAUACCACCAUCGUCAUCACCGCUGCCAUAUACCACCAUCGUCAUCGCCGCUACAAGAUACCACAUAUCCACCGCCAUCACGCUAAUCCAAGUCCACCUCCAUCACAGAUUCGCCACCAGUCCGUGUUCCAUUGCCCUGCAAAUAUCCGCCACCAGUCCGAGUUUCCACCAGAUUCAUCUCUGCCACCAGUCCUAGUCCGAGUCCAGUAAUUAUUGCUUUGCGCUCGAUUUCCAGAUCACGCAAUACUCCGAGUCGUGACAGAGUAGGACUCCCCAACUUCCGAGCCAUCCGCAGAAGAAAAAUAGUUCCAGUUUAAAAAAAAAACUAAGUCUGGAAAAAUCUAGCUAGGCAGUUUUUAGGACAUUUGUAGACUUUUUUGAAAAAAAAUUGUUGCGGAGCAAAAAAAAAGAGGAAAAAAAGUGCAAAAAAAAGUGAAAAAAGAAAAAAAAUUCAGAGUGUGCUCCUCCCUUGUUUACGUGCAGCGCCGUGAUUUUGUUAGUGUUCUUGGCUCGCGUCUCUAGUACGGUGUAGCCUAGGACCAGCACAGUACCGUUGUUGAGCAUUUAUUCAACUUUGCAUCUCUAAAUUGAUUAUUGCUGACCCUUUUUGCUACCAUAUUAUAUGCCUUCCCAGCUCCACAUACAUCUACAUCGUGCGUUUGACUCUCCCAGGUAAUCGCUCUAUCCAAGCUUUGAGUGUUUUGACUACAUCGGUUGCCGAUCACCGCCUGCUGCUGGGUAAGAACUGGUAAGAAUUUGAGAUUUGCUUGACGGAUUUGUGGCACCCACCACCACCACCACUUGUUAGUAGUCUAUAGGAUCAUAUUUUUGUGUGUUUCUAGUACUGCUAACCAUGCCAGGAUAACAAGCCGACAAGAUUGACUGGGAGAACUUAACGUACAAGGAGCUUCAUGAUAAGUUUCAGCAAAUGAUGACUCAACAGGUGCAAGAUGUGCUGAACAAUUUUGAAGAGGCCAUGGAGAAGAUCACUGGCCUUGAGAAGAUGUUCGAAACAAAGCUCGAUAACAGAUUUAAUGAACUGCUUGCGCGUCUUCCACCACCGGCUGCACCUGCCGCACAUCUGCAACAACAACAACAACGACUACCUUCAUGUCGGGAAACAGCCCUCCGCCGAGCGAGUCGUGUCCCUCUUCAGCCUGGCCAAACAGCUGGUGCUGCUGUUGAUACUUCUGUGGCUCCUGCUGCUGAUGUGGAGGAGGAUGAUUAUGCGGGAGAUUACGAGGAUGAGGUUGAUCAAAAUCAGAACUACGUGCAACCACUAGCACCACAACCACCAGGUCGUCCACACGCAAAUAAUGGCAAUGUUAGGGCUCCCCCUCAGGUACGAGAUCAUGACCAUCUCCCUAAACUGAAAUUGAAUAUUCCACCAUUUGAGGGUAGAUAUGUUCCUGAUAUAUAUCUUACUUGGGAGUUAGAAACUCAACAACGAUUUACAUGUUUACAAUAUCCUGAGGAGAGACGUGUUCCUGCUGCUGUCUGUGCUUUCACUAGCUUUGCAUGUGUUUGGUGGUCUGAACAUUGUAGAUUAUAUCCUGUUCUAGCUACUUGGGCUGCUUUGAAAACUGCUAUGCGUACUCGUUGGGUUCCACCAUAUUAUCAACGUGAAUUAAUUCAAGAAUUGCAGCGCUUAAGACAAGGAAAAAAUUAUGUAGAAGAAUAUUAUCAGGAAUUACAAACUGGCUUGAUUAGAUGUGGUAUUGUUGAGGAGAAUGAAGCUAUGCUUGCACGUUUUAUGGGUGGAUUAAAUAGAGAGAUUCAGACCAUUCUAGAGUAUAAGGAUUAUAAUAAUAUCACUCGUUUAUUCCAUCUUGCUUGUAAAGCUGAACGUGAAGUGCAGGAUCGACAGGCAUUGGCGCGAACUAACUUUUCUACAGGUCGACUUUCAUCAUGGACACCACGUGCAUCAUCUACUUCCACUGCACCAUCACCUCCUUCAGGUGCCACCUCCAACCGUGAUACAAGAAAGCAGACACAACCACCACUAUCUGCCAAGAGCACACCUGCCGGGCCUGGACAGAGCUCUUCUUCCAUGGCGUCAACAGGGCACACAAGUGAUAUUAUUUGUCGUCGUUGUAAGGGAAGAGGACAUUUUGCGAGAGAAUGCAAAUCUCAGCGUGUGAUGAUUGCUACUGAGGAUGGUGGGUAUGAGUCUGCUAGUGACUAUGAUGAGGAGACUUUGGCUCUUAUUACACAUGAAGAACACGGUGGAGAUGAUUCUGAUCAUGAGACGCAAUACAUGGCUGCUGAAGAUGCUGACAGGUAUGAAUGUUUAGUUGCUCAACGUGUUUUGAGUGUGCAGGUUACACAAGCUGAGCAAAAUCAGAGGCAUAAUUUGUUCCAUACAAAGGGAGUUGUGAAGGAACAUUCUAUUCGCGUCAUCAU
This 75961-nucleotide long non-coding RNA is filed under the name Triticum aestivum (bread wheat). RNAcentral's name for it is "long non-coding RNA (TAES_LNC013310)". Lineage: Eukaryota; Viridiplantae; Streptophyta; Magnoliopsida; Poales; Poaceae. The record is from RNAcentral.